AUAAUGGUACACGGGACUAUCACAGACUUAGCUUUUCUCUUUACCAUUUGGUAACCGAGUUGACUAUGGCCGAUCCUUUUCCAUUCGGAAGAGAGAGCUUUACUAGAUAUCCAGUGUCAUCAUUGUCAAUGUCCAUAAAGUUUUAGGAAGUUGAUCUUAGCAAAUAGAUAAGAUCAUUAAGGGUCUUGUCAUAGUCUAUUUCAUAGGUGUCCCAAAGGAACUCACUAUGUGACUUAGAAAGUGAUUGAACCACCAACUUUCUCAAGACUUUGACACCCAACUCUCCCGGCUUGUCAAUAUGUGACUACAUCUCCAAGAUGUGAUCACACCUAGACCUUGCCUUGCCAAUAGGGCUUGAGUGACCUUAAACUUUUCAAGAACUUGUGGGUUAGGGAGAAUAAUUGGAGGAGGUGAAAGAAGUAUGAUUUCCAAGGGACAUCAUCUUCAUUUAGGAAAGCUUGUUUCAAGAGAUUUGGGAAGAUCAUAGGUGUCUAAACCAGACAUCUUUUGGGAGAUAUUCAAGAUAGUUGAUUUAAAGUCCUUAAUAUGACACCCAAUAUGAAAUAUUAAGUCUAGGACCCAACAAAGUAUUUUAUAACUUAGAAGAGGGAUGCCGUAAUCCAAGCUAUAAAAUAUUUGAAGGUAGGUGAAUAACAAUUCACCAAUUUCCACCAAGAUAAACGAAAUGUAUAAUUGGUUAUAAUUGGUUUUGAAACUCCUAGAUCUUUUCGAUUCAUUGAACUGUUCAAUAGCAUGUUUCAAUCUCGAGUGUGCCCUUCAGGUUUUGUGACUGGGAUGCCGAGGAUCACAAAACAUGGUGUGAAGUAACCAUAGAUCGGAAGAGGUACCCUUAAGUGUUUACCCCUCAAUCGAUGUGCCGGUUAACCACACACGCUCCAUCGAUACUAUGAUAAACAUUAAGUUACCCUUUGCCUACCUUGUUAAAUACGAGUUAGUGUGCCGGUUAACCACACACGCUCCACUAACCGACUUAAACAAAGUGCAAAGUGUAAUUUCAUGGAUUAGCACCUUAUUCACAUUUUCCUAAGUAACUAAGAUUGGGUAUUAUUAAGAGUUUAGUUACUUAGUAUUUAUCAUUAAUACUUUUAAUGAAGGGAGAAUUCUAGUCCUGUCAAACCCGUUCGGCUAACGACCCUCCACCAGUCAAGCAAGCGGUGGGUGAGAGUGGACACCCAUUAAGUUGCCAUUUUAUAGGCAACAACCUUAUACCCACCUUAUAGACCGGCUUCGUGAAUGAGGCGUACUAGCGGUAAGACUGACUUUACUCUUAUACAUAUAUAUAUUAUUAACUUAUAAUAUUAUAAAGUAUAAGGGUUGAAUUUUAACUUUUAAAAUUCUAAGGGCUAACUUGGAAUUAAAGUAUUCAUAAGAGAAAACUUUACAAAUUCCAAAACUUGAGGGCAAGUUUUGAAACUAUUCAAAACUAAUUAAUUCCAUAACUUAUGUGUUUAAAGUAGUUUUAAUCCAAAAACUCUUCAAGUUCCAUAACUUGAGGUAAGUUAUGGAAGACUUUAAAACUAAUAAAAGAAUUAACUUUUCUUUAUUUUAUAACUUAUGGAAUUAAUUAAGGUUACACUUUUUUUUAUUAAUUAUUUAACGAAUAGACUCUCGGUCCUCCAUAACUUGAGGACAAGUUAUAAAGUCAUAAAACCAUUUAAUUAGAACUAGACUCUUCAUUUUUGUAAACUUUGCCAACUUUUAUGAGUUUUAUGAAACUUAAAUGUGAAUUUUCAUAUAACUUGAGGACAAGUUACAAAAACACAUUUUAGAAUCAACUCUUAGAUUAAUUUGGAUUGAAAACAACUAUUUCACUCAACUUUUCUAUUAAUCUAAGCAACUCAUAAGAACAAGAUAAUUCAAAUCAAACUUUUUCAUGUAAUUAGUCUAAACCUUAAACUAAUACAAAACAUGAAUCUAUUGACAAUUAUCUUUGAAAUUGGAUUAGCAUGAACAUUACCACAUCAAAAACAAGUUUAUAAGUUCAAAAACAUCUUAGGGUAAUGUUCCUAGUCCAAUUCUAGCCAAAAAAGUCGAAUUUAUGCUGUCUGGGGGUCCAACUCGUCGAGUGCAUGAACCAACUCGGCGAGUUGGAUCGAUUUGAUCACUUUUUAGGCAUGGACUCGCCGAGUCUCCUGAUAGACUCGCCGAGUCUGAUGAUCAGAUAGCAACAACUUCGAUUUUGUAACCAGUUUUGCAAGUAUAACAAGAAAACAAGCCUAGGCUCUGAUACCAUUGAUGGGUUAUGAGCAUUCUAACACUCCAAAGUGUACAUGCAACCCUAAAUACCUUAGAUCUAUGUUUUCUCUAUUAUACAUACAAAUAUGAACAUCCAAGGUAUUAUCCAAAUCUAGCAUACAAAACAAUGACUAUAGCAAGAUAGAUUACACAUCUCUUUGAUGUAGAAAGUCUUCAUGAAGUUUGAGUGCCAAGUGCCUCAAGUGUGACACCUCAAAUGGUUCACACAACACCAAAUACACUUGGAAUAACUUGAGAGAAUUCUACACUUCAUGAAAAUCGGCUAGCCCUCUCUAGAAUGAUACUAGUGGCCGAUUUUGGGCAAGAAUAAGAUGCAUAUAUAGUUAGGAUUACACCAUGUAAACCCUAAUUGACAUGGCCUUUCAUUUCCAUGAUUCAUGGGUACAAAAACACCAUGGAGCAUACAUGGAGCAUCAUAUAGGUUUUAGUCCAACUAGAUAAUACAUGGAGCAUUAGCCCACUCUAUAAGUAUGGAUGAUUUGCACAAUCAACCCAUAUAUUUAAUUAGUCUUCUUUUGAUCACUUAAUUAAUCCUAGAUUAAUUCUUGAUCAAUACUAAUUAAAUAAUCUUAUUAUUCUUAUUAUUAAUAUACUAGAACUUAUAAUAUAUUAAUAACCAUAAGUGUCUUAUUUCUCUCAUUUAGUCUAUCCAAGUGCAUGAUGCCAUGCAACCCAAAUGGACCAUGCCGGGUCGGUUCAAGUCUUACCAAUUAUAGUUAUGGAAUUAGACAUUAAUCUAACACUUCUCAGUGGUUUCACAGAGGAUUUCAGGACCAGUGAGAGCACUGUUGAGUACUCGACUCUUGGCUAGCUGCGUGUCCCCUACCUCGGCCCAGCACAUAGGGGAUCUGCACUUACGACCGUAGAGGCUUCGAACGGAGCAGCCUUGAUGCUGGUGUGGGAACUGUUGUUAUACGAGAACUUGAUCAAGGGUAAAUGGGUGUCUUACGACUUUCCUAAAUCGAUGACACAUGCUCCCAUCAUGUCUUCUAGUGUCUGAAUAGUUCUCGCACUCUGUCCAUCUAUCUGAGGAUGAUAAGUUGUACUCGUAUCCAGCUUAGUUCCAAGAGUUUUCUGAAGGGAUUGACAAAAUAUUGAGGUAAUACUGCUAUCUCGCUUAGAGAUAAUGGACACAGGUACACUGUGCAGUCGGACUAUCUCUUGGAUGUAAGUUCGCGUGAGUCUUUCCAUCUUGAAUGAUUCUUUAAUCAGAAGGAAGUGAGCGGAUUUUGCCAAACGAUCGAAAAUUACCCAAAUGGUAUCGUACCAACUCGGGGAUCUGGGUAACUUGGUGAUGAAAUUCAUGGUAAUCAUCUCCCAUUUAGAUUUAGGUAUCUCGGGCUGAUGGAGCAGACCCGAGGGCUUCUAAUUGGGCUUCCCGGAUUUGUACGUAUAAGUGGGAAUGGAUGGUCAUCGCGAAUGUCUUCGCCUUGUCACCUGAGCAUUCCUUUUGGCUAAGGGAAUCUGCUACCACAUUGGUCUUGUCAGGAUGGUAGCGGAUUUCACACUCAUAAACACUGAACAUCUCUACCGAUCGCCGCUGCCUCAUGUUUAAGUCUUUCUGUAUCAGAGUAGUUAAGGGUUUGGCGAUUCUAGAAAAAUUCUGGAUAAACCUGUGAUAGUAGCCAGCGAGACCCAAGAAUUGACGGAUUUCUGUGGGUGUCUUCGGUGCUGACCAAUUUUCUAUCGCCUUGAUUUUGGAUGGGUCCACGUGUAUACCUUCCUCGCUUACCACGUGACCAAGGAAAGUGGUUAGACCGUAGGGCAUCACUACGAACUCGUAGUGACCAUAUCAAGUCCUAAAUGCUGUCUUGGAAACAUCAUUCUCAUGAACUCAGAGCUGAUGGUACCCUGAUCUGAGGUCUAUCUUCGAGAAGUAACUGGCUCCCUGAAGUUGAUUGAAGAGGUCGUCUAUUCGAGGAAGAGGAUAUCGGUUUUUGACUGUCAAUUUGUUCAACUCGCGGUAGUCUAUGCACAUCCAAAAGAAUCAAUCUCUCUUCUUCACAACAAUAUUGGGGCUCCCCAUGGUGGGGAACUCGGUCUGAUGAUUCCUUUACUACAUAGCUCACUGAGCUGGCGGGAUAACUCCUGUAUUUCUGCUGGAGCUAAGUGGUAUGGUGACUUGGCUACAGGGUUAGCUCCAGGAAUUAGGUCGAUGCGAAACUCGACUUGACGUUCGAGAGGAGUUCCUAGAAACUCUUCAGGAAAGACAUCAGGAAAGUUGCAGACUUUGGGGAUGCUCUCGAGGUCUUUAACUUCCUGUUUCUCGUUGAUUACAUGAGCUAGGAAUGCAUAACACUCCUUUCGCAGAAUCUUUUGAGCUUUGAUGCAAGAAAUGAUACGAAGAAUUGAACUAAGAUUAUUGUCGUAGAUCAUGAGAGUCUAACUAGAGGGGAGAUUAAGACGACUGACUUUUUCGUAACAAGGAUAUCUGCAUGAUUGGGACUCAACCAAUCCAUGCCAAUGAUAACAUCAAAGCUCUCUAUGGAAACUGGCAUUAGGUCGAUGGGAAAUGAAUGAUCAUUCAGGGUAAGGGUACAACCUAUGUAUCUAUCGUUGGCGUAUUCUUUCUCACCGUUAGUCAUCUCGACGGUAAAUGUUUUGGUUAUUAGACGAGGACUAUGUUUAAGAAAACGUUUGAAGGAAUGACUAAUAAAACUUCUUUGGCACUAGAUUCGAAAAGGAAGCGAGCAUAAGAGUUGUCGAGAAGAAAUGUACCCGCGAUGAUGGUGGGGUCGGCGACUGCCUCCUCUUGCUUUAUAGCCAGAGCUAUCCCAGCGUUGCUAGUUGUUGCUGCCUUUGGGCUGUUCCUAUUGAAAUGCCCAACUUCUUCACAACCAUAGCAGGCCUGAUCGGUACUCGAUCCGAAAGCUUGAUUGGUUGGUUGAGCCGAUGCUUUGCAGUUUCGCACAAGGUGGCCCUUCUUGCCACAGUUGUUGCAGAACUUUUCACGACACGGUGUAACAACCCGAAAUUCAGGUUCAACUAUUUAACCCUUCAUCUUUUCCAAGUUUUCAUUUUGCGCCCUUUGUGAUUGAGUGUUAAGCUUGUGAGUACGCUGCGCAUACUCGCACGCUUAUUCUGUACACGGUUCCAUCUGGGUACGCUGGGCGUACCUAGGGUUACGCCAAGCGUAACCGGCCCAGACUCAAAACCCUAAUAUGACUUGAGGGCUAUAAAAGGAAUGAGAUGGUCUUGUCCCACAACCACCAUCUUUCAGAAGGAAACCCUGAGAGAUCAUUUCCUUCGUUUUUAUCUUGGGUGUGAGUGUUCUAAGCUUCAAAGUGACUUUUUAAGGUGGUGAGAGAGAAGAGGAGACCAUUGUGGAGGCUACAAGUUGGUGGUCAAGUGUGGAUCUGAGGACUACAAAGGUUGGAGCUUCUUCCUGAGGUAAAAAGUUCAGAUCUUGGCAUGUAGAUUAUAUGGUGUGCUUCUUGGACCAAUUUCUAGGGUUUUGGUCCCAAGAUGGAGACUUUUUGAGCAAGUAGUCUCCAUUGGCCUAGAUCUAUCCUAUUCUAGAGCUAUAUGAGUUGUACGUUCAUAAAAAUGAAAGCUUGGACGUGAAUGUUGAGCCAUGCAUGAGAUCUAGACUCUUGGAGGUGAAAGGAAAGGUGUUAGACGGUGUGGGAAGCCUUUAUAGCCAUGCAAAGGCUUAAAGGUUUCGACUUUAUGGAUUAAGAAGUGUUAAAAUGGCUAGAUCUGGAAUAUGGGGUUGUGUCUUAAUCCUUUAAGACAUUAGAAUAAGAAAGUGAGAAACUGGGAUGUACGCUGGGCGUAAUCCCAGUACGUGCCGCGUAAUGGGUCGUGUUCCCCGUUUCUAGAAUGCAAGGGUACGCCCCGCGUACAGGAGCUGGUACGCCCCGCGCACUGCUACCUGUUGACUUUUGUUGACUUUUAGGGGUUUGGUCAACAUGUGGACUUUCGAGUCAGGGAAGGGUAAAAUGGUCUUUUACCCUUCUAUGGGAAAGUGAAAAAGGACGUAGCAUAGCCUUGGAAGCCGAUAUUAAUUAGAAUGAUUAUUUGUUGUAUUUUGGCGGGGCUAGGUCGUUGUUUUGAGAUUUCCGAGAUAUCGAGCAGGUGAGAUUCUAGACAUCAUACGAGGUGAGUCUUCUCACUAUACUGUACUGGAAAGGUAUCUAUGUGUGACCGAAAGGUCUUGUAUGCUAUGAGAUGCAUGUUUUGUAUGAUAUGCGUUGUAUGUUCUGUAUGCGUUAUGUAUGUGAUAUGUACGCUAUGUAUGAUAUGGGCCGGAAGGCAUUAUGACGUGGACCGGAAAGUCAGGGAGUCAUGGACCGGAAGGUCGAUACGAGUAGGACAGGAAUGUAUACUGGGACUGGGAGGAAGUCCCUUGAGACACAUGGACCAGAAGGUCGUGUUGAGCAUGGCCUGGAAAGGCAUAUUUGUGUAAGGGUAUUUUGGGGAACUCACUAAGCAUUUAUGCUUACAGUUGUUGUGUUAUGUGUUUCAGGUACUAGCGAGGACCGUGGAAAGGCGCCGGCGUGCUCGUACACACGAGAGAGAGGAUUUGAUUUUUUUGUGAUCUUGGGAAACGAUAUGUUUUGAUAACCAAUGUUGGAUAUUUUAUAAAAUAUUUAUGUGAAAAUGGUUGUGACAAAAAUUAAAUUUUUACUUUGAAAUUUAUGUUGUUACACAUGGGUCAGGGAUGCGAUGGUGAUAAUUGCACCUGUUGCACCAAGGGAGGUUACCAGCAUACCUAGUGGUAGGUGCUUGUGCGGUAGGAGUAGUAGCAGCUUGAACUGUUACUACAUUGUGCUUCUAGGAGGGUCCUUGUGAACUCUGACCCUUUCUCUUUUUCCAGAAAACCUUCUUACUCUCAUUACGCUCAUUCUGGUGCUCUUGAUCAUCUUCAUGGUUUUGGGGAUAGGCAUUACUUCCUUGUCCACUGGACCAGUCAGGGUUCAAGAGCGCCAUUACAGUCGUCACUGCGGCAGUAACAGCUGCCUGAAAUAGGACAGGGUCAAAUUGAGAAGGAUACGGUGGCGGGGAGUUGUUGUUCCUUGAGUUGGGUCCUUUCUUUAGAGGCAUGAUGAUCUAGAAUGAUUAGGAAAGAGAGGAUGGUAAGUCCUCUAAAUUGAAUAUUGAGGUAUGAAACAAAAGAUAUCUCAUUAUGACAGAUAAAGUGUGCUACUAAGCGAUAAUAUAUAGGAAAACUACCAAAACAAGGGAAUUAUCACUAAAGAAAGAAUAAGUAGCAACACUUGAAUGAAUUUCUACAAUGUAAUCGACUUUGUCUAAAUACUCCUAUAGUAUUUUAUGGUUUGUUGCAACGACGACUCAUUGUUUGGAUAUUUUGUAAGUUUCAGGCAUGUUGCAUACCACAGUCACUCCCAAGCACAUGUUGGCCGUGUCUCGAAUGAAUAUAGUUGAUCAGGCUAUAUUGUCCCUAGACACGACUACAUAAUGGCCUAGGUUUAACUGCAGCGUACAACACCUAAUUACUUAUGUUUUGUUCUACUCGAGGUUGCGGAUUCCGGCGGUUAGGUAUACUUGUAUACUUUUGAAAAAUACUAAUUUUUUAAAGUAUACUUUUAGUUCAGAGCACUUCGGUCCCUUAGUGUUUAUAGUCUUAUACCAUGUAAGUUUUGGUAUACUAGUUCACUGUAAACAAGGGCUCUGAUACCAAUCUGUCACACCCCGAAACCGACGGCGGAAACGUUCCGGGGCGGAGGACAUCAUGUAAAGUAUCAUAACCAAUGUACAUAGUACGCAUAGUAAACACAAAUCAUUACAUUACAUUGAAUCAUUACAUUUGUUUGAAAGUAGAAAAGCAAAGUAUUACAUGUUUUAUAGAUAUAGUAGUCUAAACAAAAGUAAAGACGUGGCUUCCAUAUGCUCCGUCUUCUUCAAAAGAACGCGGGAUACCUGUCUAAGGAGAACCUGAGAAUACAAGCAGUUUCAAAAUCAGCAUAAAGCUGGUGAACUCAUAAGCGGUUUGUUUUCUGAAAAUGAACAAGUUUCCUUUAGUUUUCUGAAAUAGUUGUUAUCCAAGAAAAUCCCAUAUUUUCUUAUAAGUAAAGUUUGUUUAUCCAUUUGUUACACAGUUUGGUUAAGAACAGUUUGUUAUCUGGUUACUACACGAUCUACUAAAAAAUGAGUUCUGUUAUCCCAGGAAAAACCAUUAUUUUCCUUAAAAGUUUGUGGUUGGUUAUCGGUUCUGAAUGUAAUGUACAAGUAUCUACCAUACUUAAGUGUUUAUGUGAAUUUUCCUGAAAGCCUGGUUAUCCUUGAAAUGUAUGUUAGUUUUAACACAUAUAUAAAACUAUUGUGUGGAAAGUAAACUAAUUCUUAAGGUUAUUAGCUUACUAAAUUCAUUUUUACCAACAAGUAAAUCUCCGUUACCUAAAUUGCGAGUGCCAUAACCAUACGAUAGACUAGAUAUGGCAAUAAGAAGUCCAGUAUCAUUUUAUGACUUUCGUCACCCUUGAACCUGUCGGUUCUACUGUAGCUAGAAGCCAGGUGUGGGGUAGUCAGCCCCGUAUAGAUCUAUACACUCAAGUCACGCUCUCCCUCCAGGAGAUUCUAGUUACAAGGGCGGUCCUCCACUCGCGUAUAUAUGUGGAGUGUUACAGAGUACAUGUCUCCAAUUAUUAAGAUUAACGAAUUUACAUGUAAUAAUGCGGAAAAAUCCUGUUUUAAAUUCUAAUUACAAAGGUCGGUCCUCCACUCGUGUGUCUCUGUGGAGUGUUACAGAGGACGAAUCAAUAGUACUAAACUAAUGCCUUUAACAAUGAUAAAGUGGAAAAUCAUCUGAGAAAUAUAUAAUAUAACAAUAUAUAAUAAGAUUCGAAAACUAACUCCGCAAAUCAAACUGUUGGUUAAUAUGGUUUAGAUUGUUAAAAGCAUGUGCAAUAUGAAACAUUUCAAAUGAAAUAAUAAGUCUGAGUACAAGAUAUCCUUGUACUUUUGCUUUUAUUCCCCCCUGAAAACAUUGAAAAACACGAAAAAUGGUGUAGGGGUAUGAACUCACCGGUCGAGAAAUGUGUCGGCUAGGAUGCUAAGUGUCAGUUCAAGGCUUGAACACGUGCGAGGUUCCUAUGUAAUAUGAGGAGAUACAUAAUUUUAUCUAAUUAGACUUUGAACUACUAAUUAGAUAAGAAUAUACUCUCCGAGGCGCGAAAACACUUAAUUUCAAGUGUUAGGAGUGAUCCGGGUAGCAUCUAAGGGGGUGUAUGGCCUUAAUAUGGAGUUUUCUCUUCAAGAGUAAACUCCUAAUGGAGAUUACGGCCCUAAGACCAUAUCCCCAUGAGUUUACAGCCGUAAACUCAUGGGUGGUGGGUUCUUGGUUGCUAAAUGGUCUUACAACAAUUAAGGGAUGAUGCUAGGUUUAGUUCUAAGGAAUUGGAAUGGGUUUGAUCAACAUAAGGACCAUAUAAAGGAGUUUACGGCCGUGAACUCUCACAUACUCACUCCUUUUGUGUUUUGGUGGUCCUAGGUUAAGCAUAAGUGUUUCUAGUCCAAAGUACAAGCCAUAGAAGGAAGUUAGGGCACCAUUUGACCACCUUAUAGGAGUUUACGGCCUAGGAACCAUUCCUUUGGGGGUUUACAACUGUGAACUCCUAAGGGGAUGGUUUCCUUCAAGUUUAAGGCACUUAACACAUUGGUGGAUGGUUGGCAUUAUUCCAAGGCUUAGGAGGUGUUUAUGGGGCAUCUUAACACCUUAAAAGGUGUGUGUGGCCUAAGAAAGGGUGUUUACGGUCCAAGCAUGUUCUUGGUCCAUAAACUCAUGUUUACCCCUCAAAUGUUAUGGUUUUGGUGUUCUAAGUCCAAUCUUGCAAGCCCUUAAGUCAUAUCUAAGCUCCAGAAGUGAUUUGGGAGGGUUUUAGGGCUCCAAAACCCCAUUAAUUAUGUGUUUAAGGUUUGGGGUUGUUCCUAGGCCGUAAACACAUGUUCUUGGUCCCAUUUCAUGAUUUAACCACGAAUUUGGAAGCUAAAGAUGAUACACUAUGAGCUAGGAUGGAUUACAUACCUAUUUGGAGCUUGAAAUGGGUGAUUUUGGAUCAAAGGUUGGGAUGGAAGAGAGAGUAGAGAGAGAGAGUGGAAAAGCUUCAAAUGAAGUUCUUUCACCUUUAAAUAGGGUUAUAUUUUGAGGCUCGGUGGAAAUCUACCUGAUACUGACGUUAAACGAGGCUUAUGUUCGUACCCGAUUUAGUUGUUGUAACCCGACGUGGUCGAAACUAAAAAUUUUCCAAAUAAGAAUUGGGGAUGUUUUCAUGUGUUUCUAAUGGGUUUGGAUACUCACGAGGUCAUAAUAAAAGUCUUAAAUUAAAUGACCUAAUCCAAAAUGUUAACGGAAAAAUUUAAAGACAAACGGGUUUUUACUGAAAUGGGUUACAGCGACAGAAUAAUUUACGGGUUGUCACAAACAUUCACAUUAUUCCACCCUUUCAAUGGAAAGAAACGAUUAUAUAAAAAUAUGGUUAUUUUUAUAUUUUAUAAACACAACAAAAAGCUUAAGAAUUACAAACAUGAGCACUUACAGGUCAAAAACAUGUAAAGUCGUUGGAAAUUUGUGAGUUAAUGUCUUCGUCGUACCUACCAAGGUAUACCAGCAAGUCCAGUUUUAUAACCCGCGUCUCCUUCCAGAGAGCGUGAUACUUGUGUAUAGAUCUAUACGAGAUUGCUGACCCCGCACCAUGGAUGUUAGCUACAACAAAACUGGCAAAUUAUGGGUGACAAAUAUAAGAGAUUUCGAUGCCUGAAGAACAUCGAGGCAGACAAAUCAUUUGUUAGCACGGUUAUGAAAAAUCACAUGAUAAACGACAAUAUAUGGAUUUUUAUGUGAAAACACAUCUCUUCAAAUAGUUUUAUAUACAAAUAAAACUAAUUAUAACUAUUUUGAGUAUUGAAAAAACUUGUACUUUUCGGCCUAGGAUCAUAUUAGACUACAAAUCAACUCAUGAAAAAUAUAAAAUUUCCAGGAUAAACAUCAUUAUUUUACAAGCAAACGAUUUACAAUCCAACUUUUUGGAAACAAAUACGAUUACUUAUAUAAUGUCAAAGCAUCAUUCUUUAAGUGUAAGAAACUUAUACAAUUUUUGUCUUAAGGCACUAAGAGUACAUUCCAUUCAACUAAUAACAAAAUAUAGGAUUUUCUGGGGGAACAUAGUAACAUUUUCAAAGAACAAGGAACAUACUUUCUAAAACAAAAAUGAUUAUGAACUCACUAACUUAAAUGGUGAUACACUUUCAAAAUCACUUGUAUUCUUAGGUAAACAGUAGUCAGGUACAUGCACAAGUUUUGUGAAGAUGGAGCAUAGUAACUUGAAGUCAUUGUUUUGCUAUUUGCUUUUGGAGUCAAUCAAGUUGUGAUUCGAAUACAAUGUAAAUAUUUUAUUAUUAAUAUAAUGGGUGUUGUUGCUUUGAUUACUAUUAUUCAUUGUUAUGAUACUAUACAUGACGUCCUCCGCCCCCGAAGGUCUCCUCCAUUCCGGUUUGGGGGUGUGACAUAUCAUCUGAAGCAAGUAUAUAUAAAGCUAAAAAAAGGCGGAGCUUCCUACUUCACCUACCACUUCUAUUCAAAGUUUAGUAGAAAGUCAAGAGUCUUCCUCUUCUGAUGAGCCCAUUGUUUUUCAAGAUUCAAUAUCUUCACCAACACAAGUUACUAAUCCAUGCAUUGCAAGAGAUAGUCGAGAAGAGAAGUUGUACCUCCAAAGAGGUACGCUAAAUCUGAUCUUAUUUCUUAUGCAGUUAUUGUUGCUCUUGAUAUUUAUUCUAGAAUAGAGCCUGUGAAUUUUAAUGAGGCCAUUAAGUCUAAAAAUCAAGUGAUUGGAUGAUUGAAUUGAAAGUGAGACGGAGUCCAUGCAAUUGGUACUUAGAAAAGAUAAAGGCUAUUUAAAUUCAAGUCGGUCUACAAGCUCGAGGAACCUGUGAACCUGGAUGAGAAACCAAUGUACAAGGCUUGGUUAGUAGCUAAAGGCUAAAGUCAAAUUCCUGGUAUUGAUUACACUAGCAUUUAUUCGUUAGUUGUCAAACAUUUUUCUAUCUGUGUAAUAUUGUGAUUCGUUCCUUCUAAUGAUUAUGAAUUAGAGAAACUUGAAGUUCCUAUAACUUUCUUAAAUGGUGUGCUUCAAAAAGAGAUUUUGAUUAAACAACCUAAAGGUUUUGUAUUUCCAUGCAAGGAGGACUACAAUUUUAAUUUGAAUAAAUUUGUUUAUGCCCUUUAGUAGUCUCCAACACAAUGGUAUAAGAGGCAUGAUUCUUUCAUGACCGGUCAUGAAUUGAAGAGGUGAACUCGUUAUAGCACCGUUUAUUAUAAAAAUAGUGAUGAUGGUUCGAUGAUAUAUUUACUUUUACACAUGGAUGUCAUUUUUAUUGAUACAAAAGAUAUGAUGGAUAUUGAGAAAUUGAAACAUCAAUUGAAAUUUGCCUUUGAAAUGAAGGACUUAGGAGUUUCUAAAAAAGACUUUAGGUAUGGAAAUUGUUUGUAACAAGAUGUAUAUGAUCUUGCAUCUUUCUCAAAAAAUUACAUUGAGAGGGUCAUAAGACGCUUUAAUAUGCAUGAAGUAAAACCUAUCAACACACCUUUUGCAACUCAUUUCAAGUUAUCAUCCCAUUUGGUGCUACUAUUGAGACCAAUAUGGCUUAUAUGGCAUGUGUACCAUACUCUAGUGUUGUCGGAUCCUUGAUGUAUGAUAUAAAUUUCACGUGCCCUGAUUUAGCUUAUGAUAGUAACAUGGUAAGUGGUCACACCCCCAAACCAGAAUGGCGAAAUCGUUCGAGGGCGGAUGACUUCAUAUAGUAUCGAAACAGUUGAAUACAUAGUAAAGAAAGUAACACAACCAUCAUAUAUAUAAUUUGAAAGUUUACAUUAUAGAAAGCACUUGUUUCAAAAGAAAUUAUAAUAUGAUGACAAAAUGAAAUUAAACUAACGCCGCAGCGUCCCUUCUUCAAAAGCAAUAGUUUACCUGUAUAACUGAAUCCCUGAGAAAUACAAGUAGAUUUGAAUGAGUAGAUCAGCAUUUAAAUUGGUGAGUUCAUAACUAUUUAAUGUCACUGUUUGAAUAAAAUCAAAUGAAAUUUGUCUGUAGUUGUUCGAAAAACUCCUAGAAAAUCAAAUAUUUCCUACUAGUAUAAAAGCAGUCUUCUAUAAAGACUCGAUUGUUUUGAAGGCUUGCUUUUAGAAAUCCAAUAUCCGUUCAUAAGUGUGUCGUACUUUAGAAGUUCCAAAACUGAAAUGCAAUCGUCUUUUCAUGCCUAGAGUAGUAGAUUUGUGUAAGUAUAAAAUCACUAAGGCAUUUGAUAACCCUGUAAAUCAAUGAGUUCUUAAUACUCCAUGUGAGUUUUAUAACCAUACUAAUGAUGCAGAAUGCCUAUAACAACGUUCUUCAGGCAUUGGAAUGUUAUGACGUUUGUCACCCCAGGCCUGCCGGCCUAGCUGUAGCUAACAACUUAGGUGUGGAAUUGUCAAUCCCCUAUAGAUCCAUACACAAGUAUCACGCUCCCCUACAAGGGAUUAUGGUAUAUAAUACAGGACUUAAAAUGCAUACUCGAAAGUACGUGAAAUGUCUCACGAAACAUAGUAUAAAACAGAUUUACAUAUGAAAAUGUCCAUUUCUUCUUGUAUAUGAAAGUAUCUCUUUGAUAUAGUGUUUCUAGUAUGUAAAUGUUCAUGAUUUCCUCAUAAACUAUACCUAUUAUAGUUAUUCAAAGUGUGUGUUUCAUUCGUAUAGUAAAUCCUAGUGCAAUGCUCACUUGUUAUGUAAAGUAUAACAUUUAAAGUGGCAUAAAUGAUCACAUAUAAUUAAAGUAUAAAUAAAGGGUUUGAUUCGCAUAUAUAUAUAAACAUGUUUUAUUUCUAAAAGACAGGAUGUUAUCGUGAAUAUAUAUUGUAUACAAAAGUUCCCAUGUAAUACUUAUGAAUCACAUAUGAUUCACUUGAUAGAAAAGGGUAUAUAGUGAAACUUUAUGUUACACACGAUAAUAACCGUGUGUUUACUUGCAUCCCCCCAUUAAAAGUGUAUAAAAAGCAUUGAUAAACAUUUGAAAGUGUAUUUUAUAGGGGUAUGAACUCAUUUGAUUGAUUGGAGAAAGAGAGAUGAAAAACGAGCAGAACUUCGGCUUGUAAAAGUCGAUUUCUUGGGAUUCUCGGGAUCUCGGGAAUCUCGGGAAUCUCGGGAGUAUCGGGAGUGUAGAACCUUCCUUCGGAACUUUAGUGUGAAAACCAGGGCUUCAGGAGGGCUUCGGGAGCUUAACCGCAAAGUUUCAACACGAGAGAUGGAAGAAUGGAGCACCUAAACCCGGCACCCCAAGAGUUCUAUUUAUAUGUCUCAUUUUUGGGUGCAACGUCGUGGCAAAGGCUUGGCAACAUCGUGGGGGUCAAGUAUUAUCUCCUUCCGUUGAUUGGACGCCCUCAGUCACUUGCCGGGUCACGGCGAACUGUGCCACGUCGUGGCAGACCUGACAGCCUCGGAUUUUGGACCCCGAACUUGUAAAAUCCGUAACUUUCGCGUACGAGCUCUGCUUUUGAAGUUCUUUAUAUGCACACGUAGCUGAAGAUAUGCUCUACAAGUAUUUUUUAGACUUUUUCGGCUAAUUUUAAAUUUAUUUUUAAUUAUUUAUUUUUAACAUGUCGGGACACGAAAAGCCCGUUAGAAAUCCAUAACUUCUUCAUCCGAUGUCCGUUUUCGUCAGACUUUUCACCAUUACUCUACUAUUGUUUAGACCUUUGAUUCACAUUUAGGUUGUUUUCAUCAAAAGUCUCUCUAGCUCUAUUUCAAAAUUUUAGCUGUCUACUGCUAUAUCCGGAUCCUGGAAAAAUCAUAACUUCCUCAUACGAAGUCAGAUUUGCACGUUCUUUUUAUGUACGCUCACGGUUUAAUGUUAUCUACAACUUUCAUUUAGAUACUUAAGGCUAAAAACUAUUGUAUUGAAACUUCGCGUUUUUCGUUUAAUCGUUGUUACCGGUUUUGUCGGAAAUCUUAGAAUGGUCAUCACUUCUUCGUUAUAACUCGGAUUUUAGUGUUCUUAGUAUUUCUAUAAAACUUCAUCUAAUCUUUAGGUUCCCAGGUGUAUUCAGGUCCUCGCUUUGCAUUCCAGCGAACCUUCACGAUGGGGAUGCGACUUUGUUUUGUUCUUUUCAUUUCACUAUCCAUGAUUUCAAUUGGCUCUUCUAUAAAGUGGAGACUCUCGUUGAUUUCGAUCUCGUCUAAAAGGAAGACGAGGGUCUCAUCCGACAAACAUUUUUGCAAGUUAGACACAUGAAAGGUAGGGUGUACGUUAUUGAGUUCCUGCGGUAGACGAAGUUUGUAGGCUACCGGGCCGAUCCUUGUGAGGAUCUCGAACGGCCCGAUAUACCUUGGGUUUAGUUGCCCAUGUUUUCCAAAACGUAUUAAACCUUUUCAGGGCGAGACCUUUAAUAGUACUAUGUCCCCGACCUAAAAUUCCAAGGGCUUCCAUCUUUUGUGUCACACCCCGAAAACCAAAGGCGGAAACAUUUUCGGGGUUGACUCCACGUUGAGUAUCAAAUCCAAUGUACAUAGUAAUCACAGUAAACAAAAAUUACAUUACAUAUAUUUGAAAGUUUACAUUUGUUUCAAAAGUAAAUUGUACAAGUGUUAUACAUAUAUCAUAUGAACAAAAGUUGAGACGAGUGUUCUGAGCACUCCUUCUUCACUAAAAGAUAUCACCGGGUACCUGUCUAAGGUGGACCUGGGAAUACAAGCGGUUUGAAAAUCAGCAUAAAGCUGGUGAGUUCAUGAGAUGUUUGUUUGCUGAAAAAUGUACCAGUUUCCUUUAGUUUUCCGAAAAGGUUUGUUAUCCAAGAAAAUCUCAUAUUUUCUUAUGUAAAACAGUUUAGUUAUCCUUCAUUACAGUUCAAUUACGCGUUAUACGUUACCCCAGGAAAAUCCCAUAUUUUCCUAAAUGCAAGACUGAUUGAAUAUCAUAGAGUAUAGUUUAAUACACAAAACUAUAUAUUGAGAAUCAUGGGAUUACUAUCCCGAAUUAGGUAUAAAAUACUUUGAUUAUACGUGAACUGUAAAUGGAAAGUAGUUUGAAAACCUUGGGAUUAACAUCCUGUACUAUAUAUAUAUAUAUAUAUAUAUAUAUAUAUAUAUANCCAUGGGACUAUCAUCCCGAACUAGAUACAAGAUAGUUUGAUAUACUUAAAAAUAUAGAAUGAAAACCAUGGGACUACUAUCCCGGACUAGAUACAAAAUAGUUUGUUAAAAACCAUGGGAUUACUAUCCCGAACUAGAUAUAAGACAGUUUGAUAAAACCAUGGGAUCACUAUCCCGAACUAGAUAUAGAUUCUAACCAUAGGAAUAACAUCCUGCAAUAGAUAUGAACCCUCUAGACUAAAAACCAUGGGAUUACCGUCCCGUACUAGAUAUAAUAUCUAAAGAUAGAAGAUUUAUAUAAAAUCAAAUCCAAAACCAAAGCCGUGAAUAAACUUAUAUUAAUACGUAUUGUGAGUCGGGUAACGAUGCUGAUACGACAACGAGACCUCCUUGACGCUUGUCAGACGUUAGACAAUAUCCAGAAUUUGUCACCCCAGGCGUGCCCGCCUAAUUGUAGCUAGCAGUUAAGGUGUGGGAUUGUCAGUCCGGAAUAGAUCUAUUCACAAAUUCCUCGCUCUCCCUCCAGGAGACUCUGGUUACACUUCUGGGGAGGAUAUACUGAUCAUCCAUAAAGGGUAGUGAUAAACUCACAAACUAGUACUAAACUAUUCACAGGGUUCUCAUACGAUAUCAAACAUACAAAAGAUUAUGAAACAUAAUAUAGUGAAUAUAGAUACAUACAAUGAAACUAUCUGGCAAUACAUUCAAAUGAUGCGGAAAUAAACUGAAUCAGACAUAGUUUAUCUAAUAACUUUAUGCACAUAUCAGUACAUGAUAAAACGAGAACUAAAGAACCCCAAAUUAUUCCCAUAAUAAUUUGAUUACUUUGGUUAUUUUCUUAACUAAAAUCUAUUUAGUUGUAGUUGAUAAAUCAUCCCUUAGGCUCAGCAUAAUACAUAAGGGGUUACAGUGUUUAUAAGUUUGCCAAAUAUUAUUUGAAACAUAUCAAUGUUAUAAUUCGAAAACAGUUAUAGUUUGCUUGUAUUCCCCUCCCCCUGAAAACAUUGAAAAACACGAAAAAAGCGUAGGGGUAUGAACUCACCGGACGAGAAACCUGACGAUUUAGGAUGCUAAACGUUGGUUCGGGGCUUGCAAACGCACGAGAUUCCAUAGUAUAAUGCAAAUAUACACAUUUGUAUCUAAUUAGGACUCAGAUUAUUUAAUUGUUAGGGACAAACACGUUUAGUCGCGGAAACACCCCAUUACAAGUGUUUGGAGGGACCCGAGUGGCGUUUAAGGACUUGAAUGACUGGGAAAUGGAGUUUACUCUUCAAGAGUAAACUCAUGCAAGAGUUUUUGGCCUAUAACACCCAUUCCCCAUGAGUUUACGACCGUAAACUCAUGGUGGGGUGGUUUAGGGUGCAAAAUGGCUUGAAACACUUAGGGGAAAAUUUCUAGGGUUGGUUUCAAGGCUUGGAAUUAAUUUAAAACACCAAAUGACAACAGUUAAGGGAGUUUACGGCCCUAGCAUGGAGCUUACGACCGUAAACUGCUAUAUACCCUUGAGUAAGUGUUUUAAUGUCUCCAAAUUAAUCACAUGUGAUUCUAAUGAUUUUUCCCUAGCCUUGUAUGGAUUUUUUAGGGACAAUUGGCCUAGAUUUUGGAGUUUACGGCCCAUGAGCACCCUCAUGGCCGUGAACUCCUUAGAUGGGGAAAAUAAUAUGUUUUAAGGUCCAAUACUUGUUUGUAUACACUUCUAGAAUUUACCCCAAGGCUCAUAGUGUGUUUAAAUGGCAUUUUAACACUUUACAUUGAGUUUACUCCCCAUGUUAUGGGGUUUACGUCCCAAGCAUAAGCCUUGGCCGUAAACUCUCAUUUGUCCCUCAAAAUAUAUGUUUAAGGCCCCUAAACUAUUUUUAGUUGGUUCUAUGAUUUAUUCCAAGGCUUUUGGUGAAGGUAUAUGGCUUUCUAACAUGUUGGAAAUGAGUUUACACUCAUGUUUGAGGGGUUUACGGCCCAAGUAUGUGCCUUUGCCAUAAACUCAUUCAAAUCCCUCAGAAUCCAUGUCAAAAGUGUUCUAAGUCCAUUCGAUGAAGUCAUUUAGCCAUAUCUAAAGUCUAGUUGUGGUUUGGAAGGGUUUUGUUGCUCAAAAACCCCCCCUUUAAAUGAGUUUACGGCCUACGAUAGUUUUAGGGCCGUAAAGCCAUGAUAAUGGUCCUAAUCCAUGGUUUAAACUCGAAUUUGAAGGCUAGAGGGGUUGUACAUCAAGUUAGGGAAGUUACCUCAAAGAUUUGAAGCCUUAAAUUGAUGAUUUGGACCCUUAAACUUGGAUUUAGGAGAGAGGUUAGAGAGUGAGUAGUGAGAGCGAGAAAAAGCUUCAAAUGAUAGCUUGAACAUGUUUAAAUAGGUCCCAAAACUUGGACACGGUGGAAUUCUACCCGAUACCGGCAUUAAACGGGGCUUUUGGUCGCACCCGAUUAAGUUUUUCGUAACCCGGCGGGGACGUUUCUAUAAUUUUUGAAAUAACUAUUGUGGGCUAAUUUCAUGAGUUCCUAAGGGGUUUGGACACUCAUUAGCAUCAAAUAAACAUAUAAGUUUAAUUAAUUUAACCCACAAACGAAAUUGGAAUGAAUCAAUAAACGGCGAGUUUUACGGGUAGAAUGGGUUUCGGUGAUGAACAACUUCGGGUUGUUACAUUAUCCCUCCGUUAGAGGGAAUUUCGUCCCGAAAUUCAAAGAAUAAGAUAUAGAUCAUGAAUUGGAAUGAGACACGAAUGGAUUUGUUGCCUCUGAUCUUCACGUUCACAAGUGGGAUCAGGUCUCUGCUGGGCGUUCUAGCGAAUUCUCACUAUCGGGACGUGUCUUUGUUUCGCACAUUGACUCUCUCAAUCCAUGCUCUCAAUCGGUUCUCCCAUGGAAGUUUCAACCCUAGACGACUUCGGUUUCCUCAAAGGAAAUCUCUAGGGUUUCGUUGAAUAGGUACUUUUAAGGAUUCAAGACGUGAAGUACCAGAUGGAUUUUACUAAGUUUCUAAGGGUAGCCGAAAUUUAAAGGUUAAGAAAUCGAUUCUACUAGGAUCUCGAAAGGUCUGAUGUAUCACGACGGAAGUAUUCUAUACUUCCUAAAGCGUAUCAUGCUUUUCUGGGAUAAAGCCAUCAACAGGACACACGCUCCAACAGGAAGGCACAUCUUCAUGGAGCCGGGUAGAUAAGGGUUUGAUGGCUUUAGAAGAAAUUUAUGGGCAAGACUGCGAUAUUACUCGAUGGGACCCAAGAAUCGACAAGUUUCCAUGGGUAUUUUCGGUGCCGACUAAUUUCCUAUCGCCUUAGACGUUGGAAAAAUACAUGGUUACGAUUACUUUGAUUGGCUACAUGAUCGAAGGAAAGAGAUUUGACCGAAAGGAUACCACUACUAAUCCGUAGUGAUCAUAUUAGGUCUUGUUCACCGUUCUGAACACGUCAUUCUCACUGAGGUUCGGUCACGAGGUAGAUCCAGGGAUUAGGCCGAUGCGGAACUAAGCUAAACGUUCAAAAGGAAUUCUCGGGAAUUCUUCAGGAAAGACAUUUAAGGGAAAGAGCUGCUGACUUCCCGUUUCUUAAUGAUCACAGAAACGAGGGAUGCGUGGUAAUUCAUAUCGGGAAAAACUUUUGAGCUUUAAGGCAUGAAAUGAUACGAAGGUUUGAUGCCGAAGAUCACGAGAGUCGGGUCGGGGAAAAGAUCUAGACGAGCGACCCUUUCGAAACCAAGGAUAACAACAUGAAUGAGACUCGGUCAUUUCAUGUCAAACAUAGCAUCAAAGUAUUUCGUGAAAAGUUUCCCCCAUAUAAAUCGAAAGGAACAGAAUAAUCCUCCGGACUGAGGAUACAAUCUAUAGGUACGAAGUUAGUGUUCUCUAUCUUAUUGGUUAGCCGUCUCGAUUGUACUCAAUUUCGAUUACAAAGAAAGGAUUAAAUUUAGAAAUCGCUCGAAUGGAUAGAUAACAAGUUUCCCUUCUGGUACUAGAAUCAAUAAGAGUUGUAGGCAUAAGAAUUGUCAAAGAGAAGUAUACUUGCGGCGACAGUGGUAUCAGCGGUUGUAGCUGCUUUGGGGCAAUUUCUUUUGAAGUGCCCUACUUUGCCACAAUUGUCGCAGGCUGGACUGAUUCCCGCUCCAGAUGAUUGGUUCGUUGAUUUGGCUGGUUUUCUACAGGUUCGAGCAAGAUGGCCCUUCUUGCCACAGUUGUCACAGAUCCUUUCGCGACAUGGACUAGGAAUGCGAUGGUGGUAGCUGCACUUACCACACCAAGGAAGGGUACCAGUGUAUCCACUGGUAGGAGUUUAGGCCGUGGACCCGACGGCUGAAACAACAAUAGGGGCAGUAGCAGCAUGGACUGCUACUGUUUGCUGUUUCUUAGAAGGCCCUUGCGUAAUCUGGGCCUUCCGCUUGUUCCAAAAUUUCUUUUUGCUUCCCCCUCCACUGGUGACUAGCUCGGGAGUGGUAUCUUCCUCAUCAGAGUUGUCUUCAUGAUCGAUCAAGAUUUGCGCAAGACAUUUAGCGCUGUCAUAGGUGUCUGGCUUCGCAGCCAAGAAAUUCCCUUUGGUUGGCUGGGUCAAUCCCCAGAUGAACUUCUUAAUCUUUUUACUCUCCGGGGUAACCAGUCCCGGACAGAGUAACGCCAGAUCAUCAAAUCUUGAAGUAUAGGAGCCUAUGUUGGAACCCUUCAUCUUUAGGUUCAAGAGUUCGUGUUCUAGCUUCUGAAUUUUGCCCCGAGGGCAACACUCAGCGAGCAGAAGCUCCUUCAUUUCUUCCCAAACCAUAGCAUUUGCUACAGGUAGAGUUAAGGAUUUGACUCGGCCAUUCCACCAAGUCAGGGCUUUGUCAAGGAAGGUGCAGGCGGCGAACUUUACUUUAUCAGACUCCGAACAUGCACAUAUUUCAAAGAUUGAUUCAAUUUUCUNACAUGCACAUUUUCAAAGAUUGAUUCAAUUUUCUCGAACCAUCGGGUGAGGGAAACGACACCUCCAAUGCCAUCAAAGGAUAUGGGCUUCGCGUUCAUGAAGUCUUUAUAGGAACCCUCUUUUCGGUGUCCCUGACUGUUCUUUGGGUUUUGGGUUUGAGCACCACCAGAACCAUCCGAGUUCCUUUGAGAUAAAGCAGCUGCCACCGCGGCAUUGACAGCUGCCUGGAACAUCACAGGGUCAAAUUCAAGAGGAGGUGGUGGCGGAGGAGGAUUGUUGUUGUUCUUUGAGCUAGGUCUCUUUCUUGGAGGCAUCUUGAUCUAAAAAGAUCAGGAAACAAGGGAUCAUAAGACCUCUGAAUUGAAUCAAGAGAUAUGGAACAGAGGAUAUCUCAUCAAGACAGAUAUAGCAUCAUAACAAGCGAUAAAACAGGAAAGAGUUAUCAAGGCAGAACAUUUUAUCGCUAGAGGAGUGAUCAAGGAACAACGUGUAUACGAAGAUUUUCUACAAAGGAUUAACUCAAGAAAUACUCCCAUAGUAUUUCAUGAUUCACUGCAACGACGACUCGUUGUUUAGCAUACUGGGUAAGUUUUAGGCAUGCCACAUACCACAGUCACUCCCAAGCACAUGUUGGCCGUGUCUCGAAUGAAUAUAGUUGGCCAGGCUAUAUUGACCCUAGACACGACUACAUAACUGCCCAGGUUUAACCGCAGCGUACAACACCCAUGUAAGGUUUGGUAUACUCCGUUCACUAUAAACAAGGGCUCUGAUACCAAUCUGUCACACCCCGAAAACCAAAGGCGGAAACAUUUCCAGGGUUGACUCCACAUUGAGCAUCAAAUCCAAUGUGCAUAGUAAUCACAGUAAACAAACAUUACAUUACAUAUAUUUGAAAGUUUACAUUUGUUUCAAAAGUAAAUUGUACAAGUGUUAUACAUAUAUCAUAUGAACAAAAGUUGAGACGAGUCUUCUAAGCACUCCGUCUUCACCAAAAGAUAUCACCGGGUACCUCUCUAAAGUGGACAUGAGAAUACAAGCGGUUUUAAAACAUCAGCAUAAAGCUGGUGAGUUCAUAAGAUGUUUGUUUGCUGAAAAAUGUACCAGUUUCCUUUAGUUUUCUAAAAAGGUUUGUUAUCCAAGAAAAUCCCAUAUUUUCUUAUGUAAAACAGUUUAGUUAUCCUUCAUUACAAUUCAACUACACGUUAUACGUUACCCCAAGAAAAUCCCAUAUUUUCCUAAAUGCAAGACUGAUUGAAUAUCACAGAGUAUAGUUUAAUACACAAAACUAUAUAUUGAGAAUCAUGGGAUUACUAUCCCGAAUUAGGUAUAAAAUACUAUGAUUAUAUGUGAACUAUAAAUGGAAAGUAGUUUGAAAACCUUGGGAUUAACAUCCCGUACUAUAUAUAUAGAUUUAAUACCAUGGGACUAUCAUCCCGAACUAGAUACAAGAUAGUUUGAUAUACUUAAAAAUAUAGACUGAAAACCAUGGGACUACUAUCCCGGACUAAGUAGGNNNNNNNNNNNNNNNNNNNNNNNNNNNNNNNNNNNNNNNNNNNNNNNNNNNNNNNNNNNNNNNNNNNNNNNNNNNNNNNNNNNNNNNNNNNNNNNNNNNNNNNNNNNNNNNNNNNNNNNNNNNNNNNNNNNNNNNNNNNNNNNNNNNNNNNNNNNNNNNNNNNNNNNNNNNNNNNNNNNNNNNNNNNNNNNNNNNNNNNNNNNNNNNNNNNNNNNNNNNNNNNNNNNNNNNNNNNNNNNNNNNNNNNNNNNNNNNNNNNNNNNNNNNNNNNNNNNNNNNNNNNNNNNNNNNNNNNNNNNNNNNNNNNNNNNNNNNNNNNNNNNNNNNNNNNNNNNNNNNNNNNNNNNNNNNNNNNNNNNNNNNNNNNNNNNNNNNNNNNNNNNNNNNNNNNNNNNNNNNNNNNNNNNNNNNNNNNNNNNNNNNNNNNNNNNNNNNNNNNNNNNNNNNNNNNNNNNNNNNNNNNNNNNNNNNNNNNNNNNNNNNNNNNNNNNNNNNNNNNNNNNNNNNNNNNNNNNNNNNNNNNNNNNNNNNNNNNNNNNNNNNNNNNNNNNNNNNNNNNNNNNNNNNNNNNNNNNNNNNNNNNNNNNNNNNNNNNNNNNNNNNNNNNNNNNNNNNNNNNNNNNNNNNNNNNNNNNNNNNNNNNNNNNNNNNNNNNNNNNNNNNNNNNNNNNNNNNNNNNNNNNNNNNNNNNNNNNNNNNNNNNNNNNNNNNNNNNNNNNNNNNNNNNNNNNNNNNNNNNNNNNNNNNNNNNNNNNNNNNNNNNNNNNNNNNNNNNNNNNNNNNNNNNNNNNNNNNNNNNNNNNNNNNNNNNNNNNNNNNNNNNNNNNNNNNNNNNNNNNNNNNNNNNNNNNNNNNNNNNNNNNNNNNNNNNNNNNNNNNNNNNNNNNGGUCCCCCCCCCCCCCUGAAAACGUUGAAAAACACGGAAAAAGCGUAGGGGUAUGAACUAACCGGACGAGAAACGUGACGAUUUAGGAUGCUAAAUGUUGGUUCGGGGCUUGCAAACGCACGAGAUUCCUAAGUAUAUUGCAAAUAUACACAUUUGUAUCUAAUUAGGACUUAGAUUAUUUAAUUGUUAGGGACAAACAAUUUUAGUCACGGAAACACCCCCAUUACAAGUGUUUGGAGGGACCCGAGUGGCGUUUAAGGACUUGAAUGACCGGGAAAUGGAGUUUACUCUUCAAGAGUAAACUCAUAGAAGAGUUUUUGGCCUAUAACACCCAUUCCCCAUGAGUUUAUGGCCGUAAACUCAUGGUGGGGUGGUUUAUGAUGCAAAAUGGCUUGAAACACUUAGGGGAAAAUUUCUAGGGUUGGUUUCAAGGCUUGGAAUUAAUUUAAAACACCAAAUGACAACACUUAAGGGAUUUUACGGCCCUAGCAUGGAGCUUACGGCCGUAAACUCCAAUAUACCCUUGAAUAAGUGUUUUAAUGUCUCCAAAUUAAUCACAUGUGAUUCUAAUGAAUUUUCCCUAGCCUUGUAUGGAUUUUUGAGGGACAUUUGGCCUAGAUUUUGGAGUUUACGGCCCAUGAGCACCCUCAUGGCCGUGAACUCCUUAGAUGGGGAAAAUAAUAUGUUUUAAGGUCCAAUACUUGUUUGUAUACACUUCUAGAAUUUACCCCAAGGCUCAUAGUGUGUUUAAAUGGCAUUUUAACACUUUACAUUGAGUUUACUCCCCAUGUUAUGGGGUUUACGUCCCAAGCAUAAGCCUUGGCCGUAAACUCUCAUUUGUCCCUCAAAAUAUAUGUUUAAGGCCCCUAAACUAUUUUUAGUUGGUUCUAUGAUUUAUUCCAAGGCUUUUGGUGAAGGUAUAUGGCUUUCUAACAUGUUGGAAAUGAGUUUACACUCAUGUUUGAGGGGUUUACGGCCCAAGCAUGUGCCUUGGCCGUAAACUCAUUCAAAUCCCUCAAAAUCCAUGUCUAAAGUGUUCUAAGUCCAUUCCAUGAAGUUAUUUAGCCAUAUCUAAAGUCUAGUUGUGGUUUGGAAGGGUUUUGUUGCUGAAAAACCCCCUUUAAAUAAGUUUACGGCCUAGGAUAGUUCUAGGGCCGUAAACCCAUGAUAAUGGUCCUAAUCCAUGAUUUAAACUCGAAUUUUAAGGCUAGAGGGGUUGUAUAGCAAGUUAGGGAAGUUACCUCAAAGAUUUGAAGCCUUAAAUUGAUGAUUUGGACCCCUAGACUUGGAUUUAGGAGAGAGGUUAGAGAGAGAGAGAGUAGUGAGAGAGAGAAAAAGCUUCAAAUGAUAGCUUGAACAUGUUUAAAUAGGUCCCAAAACUUGGACACGGUGGAAUUCUACCCGAUACCGACAUUAAACGGGGCUUUUGGUCGCACCCGAUUCAGUUUUUCGUAACCCGGCGGGGACGUUUCUAUAAUUUUUGAAAUAACUAUUGUGGGCUAAUUUCAUGAGUUCCUAAGGGGUUUGGACACUCAUUAGCAUCAAAUAAACAUAUAAGUUUAAUUAAUUUAACCCAAAAACGAAAUUGGAAUGAAUCGAUAAACGGCGAGUUUUACGGGUAGAAUAGGUUUCGGCGAUGAACAACUUCGGGUUGUUACAUUUUGUCCGCAUAACUCUUUUGUCUGUCUGUUGAAGCCUUUAGUCAUUCCCGAAUUUGUACAAUCUUCUUGGUUGUCUCUCUUAUGAUUUACGGGCUAGUGAGAGUGAUGUCGGGUACUUGUCCCUUGGCUAGUUGUGUGUCGCCUACUUCAGUCCAGCAGAGUGGUGAUCUGCACUUCCGGCCAUAGAGGGCUUCGAAUGGAGCAAAUUUAAUGCUGGAGUGAUAGCUAUUGUUAUACGAAAAUUCAAUUAGUGGUAAAUGGGUAUCCCAUGCUUUACCAAAAUCGAUUACACAAGCCCUUAGCAUAUCUUCCAGGGUUUGUAUGGUCCUCUCACUUUGACUGUCAGUUUGUGGAUGGUAAGCAGUACUCAUGUCGAGCCUCAUUCCUAGAUAUUUUUGUAACGAUUGCCUGAAUCGCGAGGUGAAUCUACUAUCUCUGUCAAAGAUAAUGGAUAUUGGUACACCGUGUAGUCAUACAAUCUCUCGGAUGUAGGUUCGAGCUAGCUUCUCCAUCUUGUCGGUUUCCUUUAUGGGUAAGAAGUGUGCAGAUUUUGUUAACCCAUUGACAAUUACCCAUUGGUGUCUAGCCCACCUGCUGUUCUGGGUAAUUUGGUUAUGAAAUCCAUGGUUAUCUGUUCCCACUUCCACUCGGGUAUUUCGGGUUGUUGUAGUAAUCCUGAUGGCUUUUGGUACUCUACCUUGACUUUGGCGCAAGUCAGACACUUGCCCACAUAGGUAGCUAUCUCUGCUUUCAUGUUCGGCCACCAAUACAGUUUCUUGAGGUCCAGAUACAUCUUGUCCGACACUGGAUAAAUGGAGUAUCGAAUCUUAUGCGCCUCAUUCAUGACCACGUCUCUGAAUCCACCAAACUUCGGUGUCCAGAUUCGAUCCAUGAAGUAAUAAACUCCGUCACCCUUGACUUCAAGAUUCUUGUCCAUUCCUCUUAGGGCUUCACCUGUCACAUUCUCUGUUUUCAAGGCUUCCAUCCGAGCUUCCUUGAUUUGUGUGGACAGAUGGAAUGGAUCGUCAAGGUUAAGGAUUUCACUCGGCGACCUCAGUAUUCUUUUCGACUAAGAGCAUCAGCUACUACAUUUGCUUUUCAUGGGUGAUAGCAAAUCUCGCAUUCAUAGUCAUUAAAUAGUUCAACCCAUCGUCGUUGCCUCAUGUUGAGUUCUUUUUGGUUGAGAAUGUACUGGAGGCUCUUAUGAUCGGUGAAGAUCGUGCAUUACGUGCCAUAAAGAUAGUGUCUCCAGAUCUUUAGCGCGAAAACGACUGCUCCUAGUUCAAGAUCGUGGGUAGUGUAGUUGAAUUCGUGCGUCUUGAGUUUUCUUGAGGCGUAAGCAAUGAACUUACCUCAUUUCACUAGUACGCAUCCAAGACAUUGAUUAGAUGCAUCACAGUAGACCACGAAGUCUUCUGUUCCUUCUGGCAAGGACAAUAUAGGUGCGCUGCAUAGAGCUUGCUUCAGUGUUUGGAAUGCAGCAUAUUGUCUUUCUUUCCAAUCGAAAGUAACACCCUUUUGGGUCAGGGUGGUAAGUGGUUUAGCAAUCUUCGAGAAGUUCUGUAUGAACCUUCGGUAGUAGCCAGCAAGUCCCAAGAAUUUUCGAAUUUCUAUUGGGGUUCUUGGAGCUUACCAUUUCUCGAUUGCUUUGAUUUUGGAAGGGUCCACGUGUAUUCCGUCUUUGCUAACCACGUGACCUAGGAAAUCUACAUUCCGAAUCCAAAAUGCGCACGUGGAUAAUUUUGUGUAUAGCUUCUCUUUUCUUAGCGUUUCCAAGACUUGUCGGAGGUGUUGACCGUGAUCCUCUUUAGUCUUUGAAUAAAUGAGUAUGUCAUCUAUGAAUACGAUCACAAACUUGUCUAGGAACGAAUGACACACCCGGUUCAUUAAGUCCAUGAACACCGCUGGUGCGUUGGUUAAUCCAAAGGGCAUCACUACAAACUCUUAGUGACCAUAACGAGUUUGAAAAGUUGUUUUGGGAAAAUCUCCUUCCAAGACUCGUAGUUGGUGGUACCCGGAUCUUAAGUCAAUCUUUGAGAAAUAAGUCGCUCUUUGGAGUUGGUCGAACAAGUCGUCAAUGUGUGGUAAUGGAUAUCGGUUCUGUAUAGUGAGCUUUUUGAGUUUUGGUAAUCGAUGCACAUGCGGAAAGAUCCAUCCUUCUUCUUUACAAACAAGACUGGUGCUCCCCAAGGUGAGAAGCUCGGCCUCAUGAACCCUUUGUUGAGUAGUUCGUUUAGUUGGCUGGAUAACUCCUGCAUCUCUGCCAGUGCUAGAUGGUAUGUUGACUUAGCUACUGGUGUAGCUCUGAGAAUUAAGUCGAUUCUGAACUCGACUUGACGUUCUGGUGGAACUCCGGGAAGAUCCUCAUGGAAUACAUCGAGAAAAUCGCAGACUUCUGGAAUGUCUCUGAUGCCUUUCGUUUCUUUUUUCCUUAUCUACCAUGUGGGCUAAGAAGCCAUGGUACUCUUUACGUAGGUAUUUCUGGGCUUUGACGCAAGAGAUGAUUUGUAAAUUGGUACCGGGUUUGUCACCAUAAAUGACAAGAGUUUUGCCAUUUGGAAAAUUUAGGAGAACGACCCUUUUGUGACAAAGUAUAUCGGCAUUGUGUAGGCUUAACUAAUCCAUACGGAUGAUGGUAUCAAAGCACUUUAUAGUGAUCGAAAUUAGCUCGAUUUGAAAUGAGUAUUAGUUUAGAGUUAGUGUGCAGCCUAUGUACAUAUUGUUCGUGCUUUCUGUUCUACCAUUUGCCAUUUCUACUGUAAAUAUCUUAUUGAGUGUUUUAGGGUUCUGUUUUAGUACGUGCUUGAAUUUAUGACUCACAAAAUUCCUCUCCGCACCACAAUCAAAGAGUAUGCAUGCAUAAACGUUAUUGAGGAUAAACGUACCCGUAACCACCGUGGGAUCAGCUAUCAUUUCGUUCUGCCCUAUUGCCAGCACUCGUCCUGUGCCGUCAGCAUUCCUUGCCUUAAGACAGUCCCUCUUGUAGUGUCUAGCCUCACCACAACCAUAACACGUCUGGCCCACACUAACCCCAGGGACUUGGGUGAUUGGUCGUGCUGGUGCGUUACAGAAAUUGGCAGUGUGCCCUUUCUUGUUGCAAUUGUUGCAGCGCAUCUCCCAACAAUUUUCGUUGUGAUGGAAAUUGCAUUUUCUGCACUUUGGUAGGUUCCCAACAUAUGGCUCUGCUGGUGUAGUGGUAAUUGGAGCAGUAGUGGGGGCAGUAGCGGCAUGGACUACCACAAUCUGUUGUUUCUUGGAAGGUUCCUGUGAAGGUUGACUCUUUCUUUUGUUCCAGAACCUCUUCUUGUUGUUGUUGUUGGUAUUGUUGUUGUUGUUGUUGCUUCCUCUGGGUUGCUCCGGUGCGGUGGUUGCGAAGUUUUGGCAGACCCCACGGUCUACGAGAGCUUGUGCCAACUGUUUGGGGCUAUCAAAGGUGAUUGGUUUGGAAGCUAGAACACUUCCUCGAAUAUGGUGUGACAGUCCCCAUAUGUACCUUUUGAUCUUCUUGCUCUCUAGAGCAAUUAUUCCUGGGUAAAGGAUUGCCAAAUCACUAAACCUGUUGGUAUAGGUCGUGAUAUCUGAGCCUACCGUGGUAAGGCCCUAAAGUUCCUGUUCGAGCUUUUGUAAUUCGCCCCGUGGACAGUACUUUUUGCAGUAGUACUUGUUUUAGAUUCUCCCAGCCCAUAGAGUUAGCCACUACUAGCGUUAGUGACUUGACAUGGCCAUUCCACCAUGUCAAAUCUCUCUCAGAGAAGGUACAGACAGCGAGCUUCACUUUGUUCCGUUCUGGACAAGAACAAAUCUCGAAAACUACUUCAGUUUUCUCUAUCCACUGUGAUAGAGCCAUUAUCCCUCCGAUCCCAUUAAAAGUAAUGGGUUUUCUAUUCAUGAAAUCCUUGUAUGUACAAUCCCCUGAACGACCCGGGCGUUGGCCAUUCGUAGAACUAUUCACUCCCCCACCUGAACCAUUGUUACUCAUUUGAGCCAUUGCCGUUGUUACAGCAAAUAUCAAUGCGACAUUUUCUAUUGAUGUAGGGGUGGUGGUGGAGGCAUCAUUCCCGACUUGGGUCUUAGGUUUGGACGAGGAGGCAUCGCGCUGCCAAGAAAUAAAAAUAAAAGAUCAUAAGUUUUGGUGGUUGAGAGUUGAAUGACAAUGAGUUAACUAUCUUUAAUAGUUCGAGAAUUUGGUUUAACCAACACAGGGCUUUAAGUUUGAUUUACCAAUGGAUUUAGAAAAAUAAAUAAACGAACUCAUGAACUCGAAUGAAAUGCACAAAUUUAACACACGAAAGAGGUAUGCCCUAUAUAUAUUAAACAUAUGGUUGCGUUACAUCCGAAGUUAGAAAAUUUUAACCUUUCUAAAGGUCUCCGAUUAUAGGAAGUUAAAGAAGGUAAGACUUUUAGUCGAUGGUCCUACUCUAUAUCAAAAUUUUGGGAUUCGGCAAGCACUACUUGCUACGUAGGUUGUGCUUGGAGCUUGACUCCGCAUCCGAUUGCUUUGCUUCCAUAAGACGCCUAUCGAAGGCGGCUUGAUGUUCCCUUAUCUCAGAGAGGGUUGCAAUCAUUUGUGCUUGGAACGUGUCGGCACGGAGUUGGGUGUCAUCCUGCAACCUAUGCAUUCGGCGGAUGUCGGAAGAGUGAACCUGUACUUCCACGUUGACUUCAUGAAUCCGGCUCGCUUGAACCCCGGAUUGGUAGGACUGGUUGGCUAGCUUGCCCACCAUGAUUGGGAGUGCUCGAUCGGCUGAUCCUUCGUUGUGGACAUCGUAGAAGUCUUGACACAUGUUGUAGGGAGGACGUAUCCCUUGUUGCUGGCUCCAAUGGUGGUGGUGACUUCCCCAAACCGGAGUUGGUCCCUGAAAGUUUCUCCUAACAGCAGGAGGUUGAGCAGCUGGUGGGUUGAUUACCUCUGGUUCUGAGUCUAUCCCAGAGUCAUCCCCUUCAUCCAACUCGAUAGGUUCUUCAUCCUCUUUGGGAUCUUCUUCGACCCAUCCCCCGUUACCUUGGUUGAGAUAGUAGGGGUCUUCGUGUGGAAUGAAUCCAGCCAUUUGACUAUACGAGAAUAGGGUUAGAGGAAUUGAAUAAAACUUGAAACGUGUAAACCUAAGCAUGUCGAUUAAACUAUUGCAUAUACCAAAUACUCCUAUAGUAUUUAAAUUUGUAUGUUUGAUACUAGUAUUUAUUUUGGUAAGUUUUGACUUAUUGCUCACUACGACCAUUCCUCGACACACGUUAGUCCAAUCUCGGAUAAAUAUAGUUGAUCAGGCUAUAUUCGUCCCAAAUCUGAUUACAUAUGUCGAGGCCUAAUCGUAGUGUCCAACUUGUCUUAAUACUUCUUGUAUAUUCUAACCAUGAAAAUAAAUUGUUGUAUGCAUGUAAUUGUACUUUUACGACCCAAAACAAUCUAAAUUAAAUGAAACAAGGUUUUAGGUGUAAAAACAUUUUGUCAAAGACUUUGAAUCCCUUUACAUUUAUAGUUUGUAUAUCUUAUGUGGUUCGAUAUACUUAGUUCACUAUAAACAAUGUUCUGAUACCAAUCUGUCACACCCCCAAACCAGAACGGAGGAAUCGUUCGAGGGCGGAUGACUUCAUGUAGUAUCGAAACAGUUGAAUACAUAGUAAAGAAAGUAACACAACCAUCGUAUAUAUAAUUUGAAAGUUUACAUUAUAGCAAGUACUUGUUUCAAAAGAAAUUACAAUAUGAUUACAAAAUGAAAUUAAACUAACGCCACAGCGUCCCAUCUUCAAAAGCAAUAGUUUACCUGUAUUACUGAAUCCCUGAGAAAUACAAGUAGAUUUGAAAGAGUAGAUCAGCAUUUAAGCUGGUGAGUUCAUAACUAUUUAAUGUCACUUUUUGAAUAAAAUCAAAUGAAAUUUGUUUGUAGUUGUUAGAAAAACUCCUAGAAAAUCCAAUAUUUCCUACUAGUAUAAAUGUAGUCUUCUACGAAGACUCGACUGUUUUGAAGGUUUGCUUUUAGAAAUCCAAUAUCCGUUCAUAAGUGUGUGGUAGUUUAAAAGUUCCAAAACUGAAAUGCAAUCGUGUUUUUCAUGACUAAAGUAGUAGAUUUGCGUAAGUAUGAAAUCAUUAAGGCAUUUGAUAACCCUAUAAAUCAAUGAGUUCUUAAUACUCCAUGUGAGUUUUAUAACCAUACUAAUGAACCAGACUGCUUGUAACAACGUUCUUCAGGCGUUGGAAUGUUAUGACGUUUGUUACCCCAGGCCUGCCGGCCUAGCUGUAGCUAACAGCUUAGGUUCGGGAUUGUCAAUCCCGUAUAGAUCUAUACACAAGUAUCAUGCUCCCCCUACAAGGGAUUAUGGUAUAUAAUACAUGACUUAAAAUGCAUACUCGAAAGUAUGUGAAAUGUCUCACAAAACUUAGUAUAAAACAAAUUUAUGUAUGAAAAUGUCCAUUUGUUCUUGUAUAUGAAAGUAUCUCUUUGAUAUAGUGUUUCCAGUAUGUAAAUGUUCAUGAUUUCCUCGUAAAGUAUACCUAUUAUAGUUAUUCAAAGUGUGUGUUUCGUUCGUAUAGUAAAUCUUAGUGCAAUGCUCACUUGUUUUGUAAAGUAUAACAUUUAAAGGGGCAUAACUGAUCACAUAUACUUUAAGUAUAAAUAAAGGGUUUGAUUCGCAUAUAUAUAUAUAUAUAUANNNNNNNNNNNNNNNNNNNNNNNNNNNNNNNNNNNNNNNNNNNNNNNNNNNNNNNNNNNNNNNNNNNNNNNNNNNNNNNNNNNNNNNNNNNNNNNNNNNNNNNNNNNNNNNNNNNNNNNNNNNNNNNNNNNNNNNNNNNNNNNNNNNNNNNNNNNNNNNNNNNNNNNCCCCCCCCCUUAAAAGUGUAUAAAAAGCAUUGACAAACAUUUGAAAGUGUAGUUUAUAGGGGUAUAAACUCACUUGAUUGAUUGGAGAAAGUGAUAUGAAAAUUGAGCAGAACUUCGGCUUGUGAAAGUUGAUUUUCUCGAGAUUCUCGGGAGUCUCGGGAGUGUAGAACCUUCCUUCGGAACUUGAGUGUGAAAACCGGGGCUUCGGGAGCUUAAGCGCAAAGUUUCAGCACGAGAGAUGGAAGAAUGGAGCACUUAAACCCGACACCCCAUGAUUUCUAUUUAUAGGGCUCAUUUUUGGGUGCCACGUCGUGGCAAAGGGUUGGCCACGUCGUGGCAAAGGGUUGGCCACGUCGUGGUGGUCAAGUCUUAUCUCCUUCCAUUGAUUGGACACCCUCAGUCACUUGCCGGGUCGCAGCGAACUGUGCCACGUCAUGGCCAACUGUGCCACGCCCUCAGUCACUUCCGUUGAUUAGAAAUCCAUAACUUCUUCAUCCGAUGUCCAUUUUUGUCAGACUUUUUGCCAUUGCUCUACUAUUGUUGAGACCUUUGAUUCACAUUUAGGUUGUUUUAGUCAAAAGUCUCUCUAGCUCUAUUUCAAAAUUUUAGCUGUCCACUGCUAUAUCCGGAUCAUGGAAAAACCAUAACUUCCUCAUACGAAGUCAGACUUGGACGUUCUUUUUAUGUACUCUCACGGUUUAAUGUUAUCUACAACUUUCAUUUAGAUACUUAAGGAUAAAAACUAUUGUAUUGAAACUUCGUGUUUUGCGUUUAAUCGGUGUUGCCGAUUUUGUCGGAAAUCUUAGAAUGGUCAUAACUUCUUUGUUAUAACUCGAGUUUAGUGUUCUUAGUAUUUCUAUAAACCUCGACACAUUAUCUAGCAUAAUAGAUAUCGCUAUAGAGACUUUUGCACAUUUUAUUUUCGAAGUUAAUUUCAUAAUUUCAAAAUUAGUUACAAUACUUGACUUUUUAGGUAAUUACAUAGAGUCGAAAUAUCGGGUUGUCACAUAAGUCUUCUAUGUGUCUACACUUUGGUAAAUCUAAUACUAGGGUGCUUGGUUAUGUGGAUUCAGAUUAUGGAAAGGAUGUAGAUAAACGAAGAUCAGUUAUAGGGUGUUUGUUUACUUUACGUGGAUCUGCUAUUAGUUAGACAGCCUAAUUAUAAUAUGUGGUUGCUUUGUCAUCUGAUAAGGUAGUGUAUAUGGUGAUUACAUAAACAUUUAAGGAAGAUAUCUAGUUGAAGGGUUUAUUUAGUGAUCUCAAUGAUAGAUUAAAGGUUACCAUGAUAUUCUUUGACAAUCAAAGUGAUAUCUUGUUGAGUGAACAUCAAAUGUUUUGUGACCGAACAAAGCACAUUUAUAUUCAUUUCCAUUUUGUGUGGAAUAUCAUUGAAAAAGGUAAGUGUGUUGUGGACAAGUUUCAUAUAGAUUUUAAAGCGCACUAAUAUAUUUGAACUUUGUAUGUGUUUUUGAUCGAAAUUGAACGUAAUCGGCUUGUGGUGGAGGAACUAUUUUAUCUUUCUAGAAAAAAAAAAUAUAUUUGGUGAUUGCAGGUUCUUAUCAAGUUUGAGAGUUUGAUGAGUUGUUGGUUUUUUAAACCAAGUUGCAGUUUUCAUUUUGUCUCUUUUGAAGUCAAGGUGCAAAUUGGUCUUCCAAAAAUACCAAAUUUGUAAUAAUUCCAGGGCCAUAAGUUUAAUAUUGGAGAUGGUGACUCCAAAUUCAAGGACAACUUCUCUUUUCAAAAAGAUAUUUGGUGUUUAUGUUAAUACCACUACAUGCAUAUUAACGCAUGUUAUAAAUAUUCUGUAAUAUUAUAAAUAUUAUGUGUGUUUGUUGGUUCUUUUAUUUGAUUAUAUAUAUAUAUAUAUAUAUAUAUAUAUGUGUGUGUGUGUGUGUGUGUGUAUGUGUGUGUGUAUAGAGAGAGAGAGAGANNNNNNNNNNNNNNNNNNNNNNNNNNNNNNNNNCUUUCGCGCAUGGUUUUUCCUGAUUUGGUUUUUCCACAUAAAUCUUUGAGUAUUUUAUUUACUAUUUUCAUUUGUAUUUUAUUCGUGAUUGAUUAUCUAUUGAUAUUUUCAUCAUAUUCUGCAUUGAGCUAACAUUAUUAUAAAUGAUUCAGAUUCUUAAGGGUGAAACCACACUCGUCGUUUACUAUAGAGUUAUAUUUAUUUUUUGGAAAUUUUCUAAUAUGUGAUUUAUCAGUUUGAUUGCGUCAUAUACUCAUCAGUUAUGUAUAUAUACUGAUUCUUCCCUCGUAGUCUUUGUGAUGACAAUGUCAAUGACCCGCUACAUCUCUUAGUUAUCAUGCUUUAUAACAUCCUAUUAUACCAAUGCCUUUUGAAAUAUGGUAGUGUCAUUCAUAUACAAAGCAAUUUUCAUUUCUAUAAUUGAGUAAUAGUUUUCAAAAUACAAAUCCUUAUUAACAAUAAACUGAAACUACUAUGGUGUUGUAGUAAAAUGACAUUAGCAUGCUAUAAAUGAAAAGUAUUUCUCAACUGUAGCGAUACAUUUUUUAUUACUUAUGGUAUUUAUUAUUUUGAUUAAGGUUGGACUUCGGUGACUACUUGAUGGAUGUUUUUAGAUAUUGAUAUACACUUCAUAUAGACUAUUUUUUUACUCAUGAUGUAAGUGAGUAUAUGAUAAACCAUAGUUUCUAGCAAUUGGAUUUAACAUUGAAAAGUGAGGUUAACCAUGUUGGGGUGGUAAUGGGGUUGAUUUAUGUAUAUUUACAAAAAUGCUUAUUGGGACUUUAGUGAUAUGACAAGAAUGAUUUUUUUUAUUCUUCACAUUUUCUUUUCGAAUUCAUAUUUUUUGAGUUAUUUUAUCUUUUCUCUAAUAAAGAAUCUGAUGAAAUUAUGAAGCGUCUCUCUCAUACUUUUUUGAUUCAUACAAGUUAUUAGCUCGAAGGUUAGUAGAGUAUAAAACCAGCUGAAACGAUUCAAAAAAACUUUCUAUCAUGAACUUAUUACUGUUUGUGUAGAUGUCGAAUAUUGUUGUGAGGUUUCGAAAGUCAUUAAUAGUUUCUAAAGGUUGUUAUUUUAUUAUAAGGGCACUUUAUGUAUCGAAGUUUUUAGUGUUCAAUAUCUUAUAUUUUUUGUGUGCUUUCAUGUUCUCUAUGAAUAGGGAUGUGUACUAGAGAUAGAUUAAAACUUUCGUGAUUUUGUCUAAUUACUCUUUGUACUUCUGAAAGCAUAAUUGAGCUAAACAGACUUUGUUUAGAUCUCGUGUUCAUCAUUCUUACUUUACUCUGAUCUCAUAAUUCGUACUCGAUUUCAUUGCAACUAUAUUUUGUAUCAGAGCAGGAUUGAUACAAAAUUGUUCUAAUUUUCGGAGUUUUGGCAAAAAUUUUGAGUCUCGUUCCAGAUUUCAAUUUUCUACCAUUUUGCUUUAGAAAAUCAUCUUACAUCCUCUGUUGUGAGUCGGUUCUACAUUAUAGUUGUAAAAUCGAGUGUUCGAUUGUUGAAUUCUGAGUAUUUUAGCUAUUUGAUUUGAGCUUUUUUCAAAAUUUUCCGUAAAAAAAUGGCGAACUUUAACAUGAACACGAUAACUUCUUACUCCCAUCUUCUUGGUUCAUCAACGAAGAUUCUGAUGCAGAUUCUUGAAUUCUACAAUUAGUGUGUUGAUCGAAUGACGAAUUACUUGAACGGAAUUGAUGAAGACCUAUGGAAGUGUAUUCUCGGUGAUGUUCUUCCUUCUCUUUCUGUUCAGAGUAUUGGAACUUCUUCUAACAAUCAAAAUGUCAAUGAAGAGUCUGAAAGAUUGUUGACGAAUGAAAAGAAGUGUAUCAAGGAAGCGAAAAAAUGAAGAUGAGUUCAAUCAAACAAUGCCUGUUUGAAUUAAGAGAAUUCAAGUAGAAGGAAGAAGAGACCAUUGAAUCUUAUUAUGAUCGUCUGAAUGAGCUAAUCUUCAAAUGCAACCGAUAUGGAGUCAUUCGGUCAACAAUGGAGCUCAAUCUCACAUUCAUCAUAGGUCUUUGGAAUGAGUGGAAAAAUCAAUACUUGCAAACAAUCCUUUAAUGACAUGCAAACAAUGACACACACUGAUUUACCUUAUUCAUUUUCUGUGCAUCCUUAAAACAAUGUUAAAUUUUCAAAAUCUAAAGGAUAGAGGACAUGUAGUUGUGCAUUCCCUCAAAUUAGUGUCCAAUAAAAAAAAUUAGUAACAUGGAAGGCACUUAUAUUAAAAUGGGUGUCGUCUUGGAACGUCGCUUUAUAAUUUUUUUCAAACGCACAUCUCAAACUUAAAAUAUCAGUGAUAAAUUCCAAAAAAGUGCAAGACCAUUCUAUCUAGGGUUUUUUUUUUCAUGAAAGAAAACGCUCUCACUUCUCCUUGGCCUCUGCAAUAGAUGACUAACUCAGUACCUGACGUUGUGCCACAUUUUUGACUUCACCUUCAACAACCUCAGACGACUUCUCAUCGUCGGCAACCACGGGGUCACCUGAUGUCGUCGGAGACUAUGACGAACUCAGUAGCCCAUCAUUUCCCUCUUCUUCUCUCUAACUCUAGACAAAACCUAACACAACCAACACCAUCUCCUACUCCUCCAAAACCAUGCCCUCCAUUAUCCAAACCAGAUAUUGAAGCACCAAAGUCCACUGGUUCUUUUUCAACCAUUCAUUGCAGUUAUUAAUAUCUAGGGUGUACUCGUUUCCCCCCACCACUCUUAAACAAAAAAAUUAGCACACUGUUUUAAUAAAUCCAUUUGUCUCUCUUCCUUAACUAUGUCAUUAUAGACGUAAUAGAAGCACACACAUGCAACGAAACCUCCUUCUGCCUUCUAGUAGAAAUAAAUACUUAAGCAAAAACUGUAACAACAGUCAAAAUAGGUCAAUAACAAUCACAUGUGAUUAUGCCAAUCUUGUAAUGUGAUUUUUUUAAACUAGUAAUGUGAUAAACAUACUAUGUAGUUCACAAUAAAUUCUAAUACAAAUAUGAACUUUCAUACAUACUUUAUGAUACAACUCAAAGUAUACGUCCAUACGAUUCCAAAAAUACAGAGAACAUGUAAGUUUCACUUCGCGUGAAGAAGUUAUGAUAAACCCUAACACUAUAAAUUUCUAUAAUAAGAGGAAUUUAAAAUAGUCUUCGAAUUAGCUAUUUUAGUCUAAAAGAGAGUUGUAGUACUCGUAAAUACCUAUGUGUGGAUAUAAAGAACGUCAGAAACGGAGCUCGUAUGCAAAAGUUACGACCUUCAAAAGAUACAAUUAUCAAAAACGUUAAUCUGACUAAGCUCACGAUGUGAGCGUAGAUGUUCACGACGUGAGGAUUCAAAAAAGCCACAUUUCGAAGCUAGAAGAUGCAUGGCAAGUAGACAAAGUGAUAUAUCAAAAGCUCAUGAUGUGAGCAAGGAUUUCUGAUGUCGUGAGGAGUCAAUGGGACAUCAUCCAAAGCUAUGAGGUGAGCAUGCAUGGCUCACGACGUGACCAUGCUUAGUUCAUGUCGUGAGUGGCCAAAAAUCAGCCUAUAAAUAGCCAUUUCGAACCCACGAAUUAUUACACCUAAAUCUCUUCCAUCUCUCUCGUUUGUUGAGGCCAUUUCGCAUCCUGAGUCCAACGAUCUCGAACCACUGACUGUUUCUAGUUAGAUUACAUAAAAUCAUGCUACUAGGGUGAGUUUCACGGCCCUAAUUUUUAAUUUUUUUCGGGGGAAAAUGCAUGCUAAAUAAUGAAUACAAGUUAAUACUAUAUUUAUAUGAUAGUUUGUUCGUUAGUCGGGAUACAAUUAUUUUGUAUAUAUACAACUAUCGUAAACUUGUUAGCAUGUUAUUGUUAUAGUAGUAUACUAAUGCAGAUCUUGAGUUAUACUUAGGAUUCUAUAUAUAUGUUGUGUGCGAUAUAGUUCUAGACUUAUAAUCAUAAUUUAUAUAUGUUAAUUGAGAAGUAUGUUGUUAUUGUUGGAUUUAUGUCAAGAUAAAAGCAGGUAUGUUAUAUGUUGUUGUUAUUGGUUUUAUGUCAAGAUAAAACCUCGUAUGCUAUAUGUUUUUAUUAUUGGUUUUAUGUUGAGAUAAAACCUGGUUUCUUUCCUCAAGAUAUAGCUAUUGUAUUGCCUAAAGUAUUAUGAACUAAGAAGUAAUGUUUAAAAGCGUAGUCUAGUAACUUAGGGUUUUAGACACGAAAAUGCUUUUGUUAUUAGAGCUAUAGGAAUCCAACAAAGUAUACAUGAGUUAUUGUAUUCAUCAACUAAGAUUGAGGAUAUUAGUGAAUGUCCCUGACCUGUAACCGUUAAUCCAGUAUGAGCAAGGAAGUCAUGUAUGAAUAAUAUACGGGUUGACAACCCCACUCGUGGUUGCUAGCUACAAUCCAACUUAAGCGAGUGAUGAACUGUCCUUUUAUUUGUUGUUACGGCGUCGAUGAAGUGUGUGGUAUUGAGUAUAUGUUCUGGAAAUCCUCAUGGAAAUCAUGAGUGGGCUAUUCUCAUGUAAAGCAUGAGUGGGAUCAAUCAAAGUCGUUGUGUGUCAUAGCAACAGUUAUAGACUCAUGGUGGAAAAUUAUUAGAAACAUUAUACUUUGUCGUUAUACAGGUAUUAAUGUUAACUUUAAGUUUUCCCAUACUUCUACCCUAGGUAUAUGAAAUGUUUAGGUAUAUCACUGAUUUGAUAAGUAAACUAUUAUACCUAAUAUAUCUACUAAACGUAGGAGAAUCAAAAUGAUACUUUCAAAAUUACACUUUUGAACUUGGAAAAUGUAUUAUUUUUAUAUGGAGUCAAAACCUUUGGACUCACGAACUUUAAGUUGACGUAUUUUCAAAAUGUAUGUGUUUUUAGGAACUUGAUAAAGUCGGUAUGUUAUUCGAACAUUAGAAGUUUUACUGUUACGCUUUAUGUUCAUUAAGAAGUAUACAAUUGUCGGAUAUUAUUUAAUAAGUAAUAGAAAAACAAUAAAAUAACUUUCAACCAUAAAUAAAGGUAUGUAUUUUAUAGAAUUCUUUAGUAUUGUUCAAUGUGUGUUAUAUAACUGUGAUACAAGGAAUGACAUUACUCCGCCCGAUGUUUCCGUCGAUGGUCAGGGUGUGAUAGAUUUGGUAUCAGAGCUAUUAACUAUAAUGAACUAGUACUUUGUUAGGAAAGCACAAAUAUACUUCAGGGCUUACUCUACUAGGUUUAGGUAUAUCCCUUAGCCUACAAUAAAAAGUAUUAUUAAUUAUUCUACUGAAGGACUACUUACAGGAGCGGUGACAUGAUAUACAUGUUGAUUUAGGUUGUUGGAUUUCCGAAUGACUAUAUGCUAAAAUGAUCCUGCCCUUUCGACUGUCCUGACUGGCCAGUGCCUUAUCAGAUAGACCUGCAGUAACAAGCAAAUAAUUAAUAAAGCGAGAAUAAAAUAAAUAAGAAUAUAGAUGAUGGGUUUUGAUCAUUCUUAUACUCCUAUGGUGUACAUGCAACCCUAUAAACCAUGAAUCUAUGUUUCUCUAAUAUACAUGCAAAUUUGAUUUUUUAAGGUUUACUUCCUAACUAGAAUGGAAUGGGGAAUAUAUAAUAUAAAAACCAGUAGAAGUACAUACCUUUCUUGUUGCUUGGAUUCCUUGAAGACUUUGUGAGCCUAGCACACCAAGUGUUGUGCCUCAAAUGCUUCACACAACACUAUAAGAUUUGGAAUAACUUGAGAGAAUACACUUGCACUCAAAAAUCGGUUAUGCCCUCUUAGAACUCACUAGUAGUCCGAUUUUGCUAGCUAUAGGGCUCCUUUUAUAGUGUUGUCACAAUUAGGGUUCUCAUAUGAAUACCCUUAAUUGUCAUGACUCUUCAUUUCUAAUGAUCCAUGGAUUUGUAAAUCCCAUGAACUAUCCAUGGAGCUCCAAAUGGUUAUAACCCAACUCCAUAAACCAUGGAUCAUAAAUCUACCAUAAAAGAUUAGAUGAUUGUCAUAAUCAACCCUAUAUAUUUAAUUAGUCUAAUUUUGAUCACCAAAUUAAUUCUAAAUUAAUACUUGAUCACUACUAAUUAUCUAAUACUAUUAUUAAUAUAUUAGAACUUAUAAUAUAUUAAUAAUCACAAGUGUCCUUUCUCUCAUUUAGUCUAUCCACGUAUUGCAAUGCCAUGGACCCCAAAUGGACCAUGUUGGGUCGGGUCAAGUACAUACCAAAUAAAGUUAUGGACUUAGACACUAUAUCCAACAGUCUCCCACUUGGAAAAGUCUAAUAACUAUAUUUACAGAUAUGAUUUCAGGAUCCGACUAGAAAUUUUAGCUCUUUAAAAGUCUCUCGUAAUUGAGAUGAUAAUGAUAUGCCAUUUAAGAUAAGUGAUCAUAUAAUCCUCUGCUCUCAAGAUAUCUGCCAGACAAACACAUGGAACAUGGUCUUACUUAUUGUCCAGAAUUUGUUUCUCGAUCUCUGAUUUGUUUCGACAUAGAACUAAAUUGAACACAUCAAUUAGGUUCUGACCGGUCCCGGUAUGUAAGUCAAAACCAAAUCAUCGAGGGGCCCAGAUAUCGCUUCUAUUUCUUAAAUGGCAUAUUUCUAGAAAGAAAAGAUAAACUUCGACUCAUAUGCUUGUACUGAGUACUUGUUGAAUUAUGCACAAAAGCACGUUUUAUAAUAUCAAGUUACCAAUGCAUUUUCAUACAAUCAAUGGAUAACCAACUAAUAGUCAACAACUCGUAUCUCUAUGUUUAAAGAUUUAUAUGAUAUUACCGUCUCACGAUCACUCAAGAUAAAUUCCAUGAAGUGAUGCAAGUGAGCGUGGGUUGAAUCCAAUACUCAGGACUUAUGAGCACUCAUGAAUGUUGCAACAACUAUUGCUAUGUCUAAUACCCUUUAGACAUAUCAUACAAACCAAAUUCAUGAUAGUAUUGAUUCAUAUCAACUUCCGACAUAUGACCGACUGUGGAGAGUUCGAAUAAAAUAAUUAUUCUCGAAGUCAAAACAUGCAAAAUUGAAACCUUAGUAAACGAUUUACAUAAUAUAGUAACACUUUACUCAUAAGUAAAUAACAACUUUUAUUUAAUCAUCAAAAUCCCAAUUACAUUUUACAAGUUUCAGAAAUCUAAUUAUUGAAACUAAUAUCAUCCUUCAGCCCGAGGCGCCUUGCAUGCUGUAAAUGCUUAACACUACUCAGUCACUUUGUGAGGGGAUCUGCUGGGUUCUCAUAUGAUGAUACCCUCUUUGCCAUGAGGAGUCCUUUUUCUAUUCGAUGUUUGAUGAAAUGGUAUUUUCUGUCAAUGUGCCUAAAUCUCCUGUGAUCUCUUCGUUCCUUAGCUAAAGCAACCGCACUUUCGCAGUCAAAGAAAAUUUGCAUUGGCUCCUUUAUAGCUAGUACAAAUCCAAGAUCUCUAAUGAAGUUCUUUAGCCAUAUCGCCUCCUUUGCAGCUUCAAUCGCUGCUAUGUACUCUGAUUCACAUGUAGAAUCAGCUACUGUCUCCUACUUGGAACUUUUCCAAGUAAUUGCCCCUCCAUUUAGGAUAAAAAACCAGCCUGACUGAGAGCGGAUGUGACAAUCCGAUAUUUCAGCUCUUUGUAAUGACCUAAAAAGUCAAGUAUUGUAACCACUUUUGAUUUAAUAAAAUUAACUUUGAUAAUAAAAUGUCCAAAAACUUCUAUUUAAAUUCUUUCCAUGUUUAAAUGUCAUUAAACCAUGAUCGUACGUAAAAAGAGCGCCCAAAUCGGACUUCAUAUAUUGAAGUUAUGAUUUUUUUUUCAAGUUCAGCUUAGCAACAGACAGCUAAAAACUCGAAGGUCUCGUCAAUGGUAAUUCAGCGGUAAAAAGUCUGGCAAAAACCGACGUCAGAUAAAGAAGUUAUGAAUUUUUGAAGAAAUUCAUUAAGCACGUCAUUUUAAUAAAUAAAUAAUAAAAAUAAUUUCAUAAUUGCCAACGGAAUCUAAACGAAAGUUGUAGAUCUUAGUCUCACCUUCGUGUGGAUAUAAAGAACGUUGAAAACGGAGUUCGUAUGAAGGAGAUAUGAAUUUUAGAAGUUUAUUUAAAAUAAAUAUAAAUUUAAUUAUAAACUCCCGGUAUUAUCCGAAGGGGAGUCAUCAGAUAGGACCGGAGUACGCCCUGCGUACCUUCAUACGCCCCGCGUACUCAGAUCAAGGGCCUCGGAUCGUCCACGUCGCCCUAUGCGAAGCUUCCGACCCGCCCGUCCGACCCGAAGCCAAGGCAGUCGAGGCUUCGGUCAUGCAUGACGUACGCGUACGCACUGCGUACGAGCGUACGCCCCGCGUACGAGGCUUCUCAGACCCCCCUAUAAAUAGAAUGCGAGGCUUUCCGAAAAAAAUGCUCAUUUCUCUCCUUUCUCUCACGAUCUUGCCUCGAUUUCCGUGCCCGUUCAAACCCGAAGCUCUGGUCUUUUUGCUCAAGUCCCGAGGGUCGAUUUUACUCCCGAGAUUCCCGAGAAUCCCGAGAAAAAUCCGUUUCCCGAGACGAAACUCUGCCCGGUUUUCCAUCUCGCUAUCUUCAAACUUCCAAGUGAGUUCAUACCCCUAAUCAAUGUUUUAAAUGAUUCUAAAUGCUUUAGUAGGGGGGAAUACAAGUAGAAACAAACAUGUUAUUAAAUCAUUGAUACGUAUUUUUAUAAACAGUUUUCACAUACUACAAAAUGUGAUGCAUGAAUUGGUUUCAAAUCUUAAGAACACAUUGUUAUCAAAGGUUUUACCUUGAAAUGUAUAUUGAAAUGACCUCAGGUUAUUGUUAAUCAUUGUUUCAAAACACAUAAGAUGUCUUACAAAACCAUUUUUCAUUCUUGAACUAAACUAUGCAUAUACACUUAUACCCUUAUAUAUGUAUUGAUGUUAUAAGUUGCAUCUUUCAUUUAGUUUUCCCACACCCUUGAGUAGUAAGAGUGUGUAAACUUACAUGAUCAACUAGUUAGAUUACAGUAAAUUAUCAUAGGGAUAAUUUGAAGAUAACAAAACAUUAUUCCUAUUACAAGGAAUCACACAAGAGUCAGUUCAUUCAUGAGUCUUUACUAGUACCUUACCUGAUACAUGAGUACCUUUACAUAUGUUUACCUGAUACAUGAACACAUUACAUGAGCACCUUUACGUUGAUACCUUUACCUGUGUAUACUUAUUUGAAUAUUUGUAUCACAAAUUGCGAGGAUAAUUUAUUAGUACCUUCUGUGUAAAUUAUCCUGCAUAUCCCCAGUACCUCGGGAUAUCUAGAAUAGGGCUCUAUCCCCAGUACCUCGGGAUAUAUGGACGGGACUAACCAUUCCGGAACCCAUCUGUUAGCAACAGUGGGUAAUGAACAUCUAAAGAUGCCUACGGUUAUUACUUAUACUAGGAGUACCUUUACAGGGACUAACCCUUCCUUCCACCUGCUGCUGCUACAGAGGACAAUUGGACAAUCUUCGGAUGUCCAUUAGGUUAUAUGUAAUAUGUUAGCCCUAGUACCUCGGGUCAACAUUUACAUUCGUCUUGUUAGCACCAGUACCUCCGGCUAACACUUACAUGAUUAUAUUUUUCCUGUUUACUUUAUUUUGUGAUAUCUUUCACAUAAACGAGGAGUUAGACUAAGUACUUUGGUACUAGUCAAUAGAAAGGAAAAACUAUCAUUUUACAUAGUCAUAACAAAACAUUCGGGUCUUGGUAGAAGACUACACUUCAUACCUACAAAACAUUCGGGUCUUGGUAGAAGACUACAUUUCAUACUUAUAGAAAAUAAGGGUUUUUCUAGGGAUUUCAUACUUAACACAACAUUUUCACUUAAAGGUUUACAAGGAUUUCAUAACAGAUUUUCACAAACAAGGCAAUGACACUUAUAUACUUAUGAAUUCACCAGCUUUAAAGCUGAUACUCGCUUUCAAAAUAACUUGUAUUCUCAGGUCAUCAGUAGACAGGUACGGAGGCCAGGUUUUGAGAAGACGGAGCAGACAAGUCUCGUCUUUUAUUUUGAUGUUAUAUUUUUGGUCUCUUAUUACAAUGAAAGAACACACAUGUAUUAAACUUUACUUAUAAUGCAAUGGAUGAUGUUGUUGCUUGUUUAUUAUAUUACACUAUUGUAAUACUGUAUAUGACGUCCUCCACCCCUGAACGUUUCCGUCGUUCGUGGUUUUGGGGUGUGACAGCAGAAAUUAUCCCUAUCAUUCUGAAAGCUAGAAUCACUAUAUCCUUCCACUCUAAAGUCACCACUGCCACCGAGGGUAAGGACACAGUCCUUAGUCGUCCGCAGAUACUUGAGAAUGUUCUUUACCGCAGUCCAGUGAGCCUUGCCCGGGUUCCCUUGAUAUAUAAUGACCAUGCUCAAAGCAAAGGACACAUCAGGGUGUGUACAAGUCAUGGCGUACAUGAUAGAGCCCACAGCGGAAGCAUAUGGUAUAUGACUCAUCUCUGCUAUCUCAGCCUCUGUACUCGGACUCUGAGUCUUACUCAGCUUCGCAUUACUUUUGAUAGGUAAUUCCCCUUUCUUGGAUUCUUGCAUGCUGAACCUCUUCAACACCUUAUCCAAGUAGGUACUUUGACUAAGUCCAAUUAGUCUCUUAAACCUGUCUCUCAUUAUCCAUAUCCCUAGGAUAUAGGCAGCUUCUCCAUGAUCCUUCAUAGCGAAACACUUCCCAAGCCAGGAUUAACCUCCUGCAAGGUUGGGAUGUCAUUCCCUAUGAGUAGUAUGUCAUCCACAUACAACACCAAAAAGCUAAUUAUGCUCCCACUAUCCCUAACAUAUACAUAGGACUUAUCUUCGCUCCUCGAAAAGCCAAACUCUUUGACUUUCUCAUCGAAGCAAAGAUUCCAUCUACGAGAUGCUUGUUUCAAUCCACAAAUGGAUUUCUCAAGUUUGCACACCCUAUUAGGGUACUUUGCAUCAACAAAACCUUCUGGCUGAGCCAUGUAAACAUCCUCAGCCAAUUUUCCAUUAAGGAAAGAGGUUUUGACAUCCAUUUUCCAUAUUUCAUAAUCAUGAAAUUCAGCAAUGGCCAGCAAAACUUUAAUAGAUUUAAUCUAUGCUACUGGUGAAAUGGUCUCAUCGUAGUCAACUCUCAGAGUUUGAGUAAAGCCUUUUGCCACCAGUCUUGCUUUGUAGAUGUGUACCUUCCCAUCUAUGUCGGUCUUCUUUUUGAAGAUCCAUUUGCACCCAACUCUCUUACGACCUUGUAGAUUGUCAACCAAGUUCCACACUUGAUUGUCACACCUGGACUGAAUCGCGGUGUCCAUAGCCUCCUUCCAUUUAGCAGAUUCAGGGCCUGCCAUGGCUUCCCUAUAACUAUUUGGUUCAUCCAAAUCUAUUAGUGUACUAUCACUAGUAAAUGUAUCACCUUCAAUGGUGAUAUGAUAACCAUAAUAAAAUUCAGGUGUGUUUCCUAACUCUAGUGGAACGCCUCGGAGGUAUGGACUCAUCUAUCGGCUUAACAGAAGUUUCCUCCUCAAGUUGGUCGACAGUAUUUGAGGUUCCUUCACCACUUGACUCUUGAAGCUCUUCAAGGUCAAUUUGCCUCCCACUGUGCCCUUGGCUUAUAAAUUCUCUCUCAUGAAAGACUCCUCUUCUUGCUAUAAAGACCACAUUAUCAUUGGGUCUGUAGAAAAUACACCUCUCACUUCGAGGUUCGAGCUUAUCAUGAGUCUCACACCUCAUGAAAGCUUCACAAACCCAAAUCUUGAUGUGGUCUAAAUUAGGAACUUUCCCAUUCCACAUCUCGUGAGGUGUUUUGGCAACCUUUUUAGUAGGGACUAGAUUAAGGAUAUGGGCGACAGUCUCUAAGGCAUACCCCCAGAAUGAGAUUGGUAACGAAGCUCGGCCCAUCAUUGAACGAAGCAUAUCUAACAAGGCUCGAUUACACCUCUCAGCCACACCAUUCAAUUGUGGUGUCCCGGGAGGUGUCAAUUGUGAAAUGAUCCCAUAUUCCUUGAGAUAGUUUAGAAACUUUGUACUAAGAUACUCACCACCACGAUCGGAUUGAAGCAUCCUAACGUUCCUGCCCAAUUGAUUCCCGACUUCCUGUUUAAACUAUUUAAACCUCUCGAAAGUCUCUGACUUAUGCUUGAUUAAAUAGACAUAUCCAUAUCUACUAUAAUCAUCAGUAAAAGUCAAAUAAUAAUGAUUAGCUUCCCUUGUGGCUGAUUUGAAGGGUCCACAAACAUUUGUGUAUAUGAGGUCCAACGAACCCUCACCCCUCUCACAAGUACCAGUGAAGGGUGACUUUCUCAUUUUUCCAAGUAAACAAGACUCGCAACUAUCAUCCGACUUUAGGUCAAAGGAUUCAAAAACUCUAGCCUUUUGGAGUUGUCCUAUGCGCUUCUUGUUGACAUGUCCAAGACAACAACACCACAAGGAUGCUUUAUCCAAACAAUUUGAAGAAUCAAUAUACAACACAUUAUUUCCUAGAUUGUCUACAGCAUUCACAGCUUCAUAUACACAAUCACAAGGUAAUGCUUUAAAGUAAAAUACAUCAUUGUAGUAAACAUUAAUAACACCAUUACUAUUUUCAAAUGAAAAUGUAAACCCUUGUUUGUACNUUUCAAAUGAAAUGUAAACCCUUGUUUGUAAAAGCCAUGAAAGGAAAUAAUAUUUCUCGCCAUUUCAGGCGAGUAACAACACUUAUUAAAAUAUAACAUUAACCCAUUGUUAAGAAAUAAAGAAUAAAAUCCUAUCUUGGUGACAGUUGAUGCUUUCCUGUUGCCCAUGACUAAGUUUAUCUUCCUGUGCUCCACUUGCUCAUUUCUUCUUAGGCCCUGCAAAUUAGUACAAAUGUGAAUACAACAACCUAUAUCAAGCACCCAAGAACUAGCAUUAGAUGAGUUAUUAGACAAUAUUGUAUAUAUACCUGCAUGGGUAGGUUUAACUUUCCCAUCCUUUACAUCUUGCAAGUAUUUGGGCAGCUUCGCUUCCAGUACCACUUUUCCUGGCAAUAGAAGCAUUGUGCUUCCUUUGGGUUUGAGGAAGGAGUAAUGGGACCUUUCUUUGUCCCGCUUGAAGAGGAACCAUCAAAGGGCUUACCCUUGGUACCCUUCGAAAAUGUUUUCCUCUUCUUCCCUUUUCCCUGCCCAAUUACCCGAACAGGGGCUGCUGUAGGAGUAGGAGUAGAAAUAACAACUGAUUUACCUUUAAGGCCACUUUCAGCCAUCUUUAAAAUUCCUUGAAAUUUGGUACGUGUGACCUCCUCCUUGUUCAUAUGAUAAGUCAUACAAAACUGAUCAUAACUUGGAGGUAAAGAAUGGAAAUAGAUAUCAAUCUCCAAGUCCUCAGGGAAGUCCACAUUCAGCUUCAGCAACCGGUCCACGAACCUUUGCAUUUUCUACAAGUGACCGAUGAUGGGUUCACCAUCCUUCUGUUGGAAUUUGAGCAUUCUAACACUCCUAUGGUGUACAUGCAACCCUAUAAACCUUUGAUCUAUGUUUUCUCUAUUAUACAUGCAAAUAAGAACUUUCCAAGGCUUUAAUCCUAAGUAGCAUAUUAUGAUGUUCUUAAUCUACAAAGUACUAGUUAGAGGACAUACCUUUUGAUGUAGCUUGAUGUCUUCAAGCUUUAAGAGCUUAGCCCCAAUAGUGUGGAAGCCUCAAGUGGAAUCACAAAUCACCAAGACACCUUGUAAGACUUUAGAGAAUAUAGAUACUUGGUUCUCUCUAGUGAAAUUGGCUAGCCCUUCUUAGUGUACCACACUAGUGCCCAUUUCACCAACCAAGGACAUCUUUAUAUAGUAUGGAGGAUUAGGGUUAAACCCUAAUACCCAUGACCUAUCAUUUCCUAGGAUCCAUGGGUUAAACACUCCAUGGACUAUCCAUGAAAGCUUAGCCCAACCUAAAUGAACUUGGCCUAUUCCAUACAUAUAUAAGAGUCCAAAUUUAAUUAGUUCCUUUUGAUCACUUAAUUAAUUAUAAAUUAAUUUUUGAUCAAUACUAAUUAAAUAAUAUGAUUCCAUAUUAAUAUAUUAGAACUUAUAAUAUAUUAAUAUUAAUCAUAAACAUACUAUUCUCAAAAGAUUAUCCAUAUAAAUUGUGUCGGUGAAGUGCAACCCAAAUGGACCAUGCCGGGUCGGGUCAAGUACAUACCAAAUAUAGUUAUGGACUUAGACAUUAAUCCAACACCUUCAUCCUGGCCAUUAUCAUGGAGGAGAUGGUACCUAUCCAUCAGAUCCAGGUGCAUCUUAUAGGGGUAGAAAUCUUCAUAUGAUUUCUAGAGUUCGGGACUCAUGGUAGGCAACAUGAUGCAGGACACUUUGGUAGGAACCCUCUCAUGUGCAGUGUACUCCGCAACCUCCUCAGGAGUAGCAGUGGAGUCAUUGAUAACCUUAAGCACCUUAUCAAGGAUAUAUUCCUUGUUCUCAUAGCGGGUAAUCAUCCCGAUGUUUCUAAUCCAUUCGUUGAAGUUAGACCCAUCAAAAGUGACUUUCCCACACAAGUUCAUGAGGGAAAAGGAGCUUGUAGGGUUUGAGCUAGCAGUAGUGUUGGAAGACAUCUAAAAUAAAGAAGGACAAGGUUUAAUUAGAUGAAUAAUCCUUAAUAAGUCACCCAAAUGAAAUAUUAAGGCUAGGAUCCAACAAACUAUUUAUAGUUGGAAGAAGGAUGCUGUAAUCCACACUAUAAAAUAUUUGAUGGUAGGUAAAUGACGAUUUACCAAUUUCCACCAUUAGAACGAAAUAUUUUAUUAUUAGGUUUUAUUGGAUUUGAGACUCUUAAAUCUUUUUGAGAUACAUUGAACUUUUCAAUGACAUGUUUGAAUCUCAAUUGUGCCCUCUCAAGUUUGUGACUGGGAUGCCGAGGAUCAUAAACAAGGUGUGAAUAACCAUACAAAUUGAUUAGGUACCCUUAACUAUAUUACCUAAUCGAUGUGCCGGUUAACCACACACGCUCCAUUAAUCUAUAAUAAAGUCAAGUUACCCUUUUCCACACUUACUAGUCCUUGUUAGUUUAACCACACAUGUUCCACUAAUGACUUGGUAAGGUACAAAGUGUAAUUUUAUGGGCUAGCACAUAUUUCACAUUUUCCUAAAGUAACUAAGAUUGGGAAUUAUUAAUGUAUAGUUACUUUAUAAUUCAUUAUACUUUUAAUGAGAGUUAAACUCUUAUCCUACCCGUUCGACUAACGACCCUCUACCAGUCAAGGAAGCGGUGGGUGAGAGUGGACACCCAUUAAGCUGCCAUUUUAUAGGCAACAACCUUAUACCCCCCUUAUAGACCGGCUUCGUGAAUGUGGCCUACUUGCGGUAAGAUUGACUUAUUCUUAUACAUAUUUAUAUAAAUAAAAUUAUAAUAAUAGUAUAAGUGUUGUUUUUUUAAACUUAUAAAAAACUAAGGUUUAAUUUGGAAUUAAAGUAUUAAAGUGUAAGAAUAUACAAAUUCCAAAACUUGAGGGCUGGUUUUGAAACUAUUUGAAGACGCUUCAGUUUGUAACUUAUGAGUUUUAAUGGUUCAUAAAGUUGAAUACUCUUCAUUUUAUGAAACCUCCUAUUCUUUAAUGACAACUUUUAUAGGAGUGACUUUUGGUUAUCCAUAACUUGAGGACAAUUUAUGGACACCAUCAUUAGCAUUAAGAUCAUGAAUUAAACGAGCAUGUAGGUUACACACAAUUCCUAUGAUCUUUUAAAGCUCAUAAGAACAAAUAUUCAUAUCAAACCAUUUCAAGAAAUCAUAUUGACACAUAUAAAACUUGUAAAUUGAUAAUAGUCAUUUGAUAUGGGUUAACAUAAUCAUUACCACUUUGAAAAACAGAUUUUACAAGUCAAAAAUAGUUUGGGAUAAUGAUUCUAGCACAUUUCCAGCAACAAAACUCAAAAAACUACCCAGCACGCACCUACUCGUCGAGUGCAUGAUCCUACUUGACGAGUAGGAUAAACUUUGCCUUGGACUCGUCGAGUUCUCCCCUUACACUCGGCGAGUCUAGUCGAACAGUGAACAAUUUUUCUAUAUUUCAAGCAGUUUGCAUCAAAUAUACAGAAAACAAUCAUAGGCUUUGAUACCACUGAUGGGUUUUGAGCAUUCUAACACUGUUAUGGUGUACAUGCCACCCUAUAAACCUUGAAUCAAUUUUUUCUCUAAUAUACAUGCAAAAUUGAUUUUUCAAGGUUUACUUCCGAACUAGCAUGACAUGGGGAAUAUAUAAUAUAAAAACUAGUAGAAGUACAUACCUUUCUUGUUGCUUGGAUUCCAUGAAGACUUUGUGAGCCUAGUACCCCAAGUGUUGUGCCUCAAAUGCUUCACACAACAUUACAAGACUUGGAAUAACUUGAGAGAAUACACUUGCACUCAAAAAUCGGUUAUGCCCUCUUAGAACUCACCAGUAGUCCGACUUUCCUAGCUAUAGGGCUCCUUUUAUAGUGUUGUCACAAUUAGGUUUUUCACAUGAAUACCCUUAAUUUUCAUGACUCUUCAUUUCUAAUGAUCCAUGGGUUUGUGACUCCCAUGAACUAUCCAUGGAGCUCCAAAUGGUUAUAACCCAACUCAAUAAACCAUGGAUCAUAAAUCCACCAUAAAAGAUUAGAUGAUUAUCAUAAUCAACCCUAUAUAUUUAAUUAGUCUAAUUUUUAUCACCAAAUUAAUUCUAAAUUAACACGUGAUCAACACUAAUUAAAUAAUAGUAUUAUUAAUAUAUUAGAACUUAUAGUAUAUUAAUAAUCACAAGUUUCCUUUCUCUCAUUUAGUCUAUCCAAGUAUUGCAAUGCCAUGCAAUCCAAAUGGACCAUGUCGGGUCGGGUCAAGUACAUACCAAAUAAACUUAUGGACUUCGACACUAUAUCCAACAAUAGAGUCAUAUAUAAAGACUCAGACCCGCAAUGACAAUACACCUUAAUACCCAGAACGAUUUUGAUCUCAAGGAUUUAGAUCAAAUAUGCCAACUAAAAGUUUAUAUGUUCGUAGAUCUUAUCACAACUAGGUGUAAGUGCGCAACUACAUUUUAUUAUGAUCAGUUCAUAUGAAAUAUUUAAUUUGGGAGUAAUAUUUGAUGGACUAAACACUUGGUGAUCCAAAAUAUAUAUGAAUUUGACAUGGCUUAUUCACGAGAAUGGAUAAUCAUCGAACAUACAGAUGUCGAAGAAGAAGAAGUUUCAUUCCCCAUGUUAGUAGGCAAUCCUUACUACCCUAUAAAUCCAAAUAAAAUUCAUCCAAUACCAUCAAACGAGGGAGCACCUUUACCUUCCAACGAAUGGGAAGAGAGUGAUCCAAAGGAAGAAAGCGAGCCAAUGGAAGAGACAGAAUCAGUGGAAUCAUCCUUACCACCCAUGAACACUCUUUACCGUCAAUUUCCAGGAGGAGCGAAUAUGAAACACACAACUCGUAAAUCCAUACCGAGAUGGAUAAAGAUUAAGAAGAAUCAGAAGGCGACAUCUUCAGGAACUCAUAGAGUACAAGAUGAACCUGCACGGAUAGCACAAACAAUUGAUAGGUGGGUGGUAGAAGAAAGAGUUGCUAAGAUGUAUAAGAUUGUUCAAUCAUAUCGACCAGAUCCCCCACAUUCUUAUGAAGUUAACACCUUAUCUCAAUUGUUUGAGAAACUUGUGAGAAUUGAAGAUAAGAUGGAAAUUGUCGAAGAAAUAGCUAUUCGUCUCUCCGGAAGGGUGCGAAGGCUAGAAGGACAGAGGACACGAGAUCAAGAGGCGGUGAUGGAUGUCCAUCAUUAUAUUAAUUUCUUUAAUAAUGACAUGAUUACUCAUGAUGCAAGGAUUACAGAGUUAGAGCUCUACAAUCAAAACUCGAGAAACGAGGAGCGCACUAGAGAGCUCAAGCUGAGAAAUUAUCCACUUGAGGCGCAAGUGGUUCAUGUCACUGACGUGUUGGGUCGUCACCUAGCUUACUAGUAGAUAAACUAAUACUUGUGGUUGUGUAAAUAGAGAAAUCAUACUAGUUAAGGCAAAUAGUGUAAAGUUUAGAGCAAGGGUGUAGCAAACCUUGCAAAUUUUACGAUGCUUAUAGGAACUUUUCUGUUAUAAGCCUAAAAAAAUUGAUGUAAUCACUGGUGAUAAUAUAAAUUAUACAUUACAUUAAUCAUUGUGUUACCCAUUAUGUUUUACACUUUGAAGAAUAAUUGAAGUAUUUAGUACUCGUGUAUUAAAUGACUAAUAAAACUCAUAAAACUCUUAUUAUUUAUAAUAGGAAGUAAACAAAAUGCCUAGAAGGACUAGUGCUCGACUAAACCAUAACCAACAAUCAACAACACAAUAACCACCACCAGAACCAAACCCUCCACUAAGUUCAGUAGAACUUCAAGAAAUCAUAGCUCAAAGAAUCGUUGAGGCUCUAUCUAAUCUCACAAGAGGUGGAGUUAGAAAUAAAGGCAAUGUAGGGAUUGAUAGAAUGUGUACCUACAAAGACUUUAUGAAUUGCAGACCAAAGAGCUUUGAUGGAAAUGAAGCGGUUGUUAAUUUGACUAGGUGGAUUGAAAAGACCGAGUCCUUCUAUUAAAUAACCUUAUGUCCAGAUGAUUGUAAAGUAUGAUUUGCAGCAUAUACUUUCAUUAAUGCAACACUUACCUGGUGGAACAGCCAUGUGAAUACAAUGGGAAUUGAUGCUGCAAAUUCCAUGAAAUGGGAGGAACCAAAGAUGAUGCUAGUAGAGGAGUAUUGUACUAGGGAGGAAAUACAAAAGAUGGAACAAGAAUUGUGGACCCUAACCAUGAAGGGUUCAAAGAUAAAAGCUUAUACCGCUAGAUUUAAUGAUCUUGGAAUAAUAUGUCCAACACUUGUAACCCUUGAAUAUAAGAAGCUUGAGCGAUAUAUUUGGGGUUUAGCAUCACAAAUCAAAGCCAUGGUGAUCACAUCAAAGCCUACGACCUAUGACAACACCAAGAGAAUAGCUCAUCAUCUAACCAUCACAUAGAUCUAAGUAAAAGUAAUGGUGUCAUAGGUUGAGUCUCCCAAAUUUGGAACAAACAACCGCAAGUUUAAUAGGAAGAAUCCCAGACAAUCAUCUGAGAAAAGACAAGAAGUGCCAAUAAAUUAUGCAGCCACAACAGCAAUACCCACACAACCAAGAAAGUAUGAUGGAAAAUUUCCAUGGUGCAGUCAGUGUAGCCGUCAUCAACCAGGUGGUUGUUUUGUUUGCACGAAGUGCAAGAAGAAAGGGCAUACUACUAGUCGUUGCUGGAGCACAACACUUGCAACUGUCAAUUAGCAAACAAAUACCAGAAUAGGCAAUCAUGAAGGAAGAAAUUGUUUUGAGUGUGGCUAGGUUGGACACAUAAACAUAAAAUUUCCAAUGUUAAGGAGUGAAGGAGGUAUAGGUCAUGGCAGAGCGUUCGUGAUCGGAAGCAGAGAAGCUAUCCAGGACCCUUCGGUGGUAUCUGGUACGUUUCUCAUAGAUAAUUUAUAUGCUACCAUAUUUUUCGACUCUGGAGAAGAUAGAGUUUUUAUAACUCCGACAUUUAGAAAAUAGUUAAGUCAUGAGUCUCGAAAAUUAAAAGAAAUCUAUGAAGUAUAAAUCACUAACGGUCAAACCGAGAGAAUACAUGAAAUCCUAGAAAACUGUCUGUUAACUCUUAAUAACUACCUUUUUCACGUCAACCUCAUGCCAAUGCCUAUCGGUAGUUUUGAUAUCAUAAUUGGAAUUGAUUGGUUAUCAUCACACCAUACUGAAAUUCUAUGUUCUGAGAAAGCCAUAUGAUUACCCUUACCAAAUGGCAAAGCCUUGAUUAUCUAUGGUGAUAAAUCUGGGAAGAACCUCAAAGUCAUUUGUUGUACCAAGACCAAGAAAUAUCUACAUAAGACAUGUAGCGCAUUAUUAGCUCACAUUGUAGAUAAGAAAAGAAAGACAAAAGAAAUCAAGGACAUACCUAAAGUAUGCGAUUUCCCUGACGUAUUUCCUGAAGAUCUACCUGGAAUACCACCCGUCCGACAAGUCGAGUUCUGAAUCCACUUAAUUCCAGGAGCAGCACUAGUAGCAAAAUCUCCUUAUCGGUUGGCUCCAUCCGAAAUGCAAGAAUUAUCUAGCCAACUACAAGAACUUCAUGACAAAGGCUUUAUCAGACCAUGUUUUUUACCUUGGGGAGCACCAAUCUUGUUUGUCAAGAAGAGUGAUGGAUCAUUUCGAACGUGUAUCGAUUAUUGGGAGUUAAGGAAGCUAACAAUCAAGAAUCGUUACCCGCUUCCAGAAUUUGUGAUCUACUCAAUCAAUUGCAAUGAUCCAACUACUACUCAAAGAUAGAUCUCAGAUUAGGAUACCAUUAACUCAGAGUACAUGAAAACGUUAUUCGAAAAAACAACAUUUAGAACUCGUUAUGGUCAUUAUGAGUUCUUAGUUAUGUCUUUAGGGUUGACCAACGCCCCAACAGUGUUUAUGGAUCUCAUGAAUCGUGUUUGCAAACCAUACAUGGAUAAAUUCGUGAUCGUAUUUAUCGAAGAUAUAUUGAUAUAUUCACGAACCAAGGAAGAACAUGGUCAACACUUGCAAAUAAUCUUUGAACUACUGAGAAAAGAAAAGUUGUACGGCAAAUUCUCUAAAUGUGAGUUUUGGAUUAGAGAAGUACAAAUUUUAAGUCAUGUAGUUAGCGAUGAAGGAAUUCAUGUUGACCCAUCCAAGGUUGAAGCAAUUAGGAAUUGGGAAGCACCAAAUUCGCCAAUAGAAGUGCGUCAAUUCUUAGGACUUGUUGGAUAUUACCGUAGAUUCAUAGAGAAUAUCUCCAAAAUAGGCAAGCCGCUUACACCACUAACCCAGAAGGGUAUGAAGUUCAACUAGGAAGACAAACAAAAAGCUGCUUUUCAGAAACUAAAGCAAAUGUUGUGCAGUGCACCAAUCCUAUCCCUUCCAUGUGGGAUAGAAGAUUUCGUCGUAUACUGUGAUGCAUCAAAUAAAGGAUUAGGAUGUGUGUUGGGGCAAAGAGGAAAAGUUAUCGCCUACACAUCAUGACAACUUAAGGUGCAUGUGAAUAAUUACACUACCCCUGAUCUAGAAUUGGGAGCUGUAGUUUUUGCAUUAAAAAUCUGAAGACAUUAAUUAUACGGUACUAAGUGUACUAUUUUUACCGACCACAAGAGUCUCCAGCACAUCUUCGACCAAAAAGACCUUAAUAUGAGACAACGAAGAUGGUUUGAAAAGUUGAAUGAUUAUGAAUGUGAGAUUUGUCAUCAUCCCAGAAAGGGAAAUUAGAGAACCUCAACUUGAGGCUCUAAAAGAAGAAACCAUCAAGAAGGAAGCUUUGAGAGGAAUGGAAAAGAAAUUUAUAGAAUAAGAUGAUGGAACACGUCACUUUAUGAACUGAAUUUGGACGCCUAAGUUCGGUGGAGUCAGGGACUUGGUCUUAGAAGAAGCCCACAAGUUCAGAUAUUCCGUACAUCCAGGCAAUGACAAAAUGUACUUAGAUUUAAAAGUACAUUAAUGGUUGCCAAAGAUAAAGGUUGAAAUUGCUACUUAUGUGAGCAAAUGCUUGACUUGUUCUAGAGUAUAGGCAGAACAUCAAAAGCCUUUAGGUUUACUUCAACAACCGGAAAUACCUGAAUGGAAAUAGGAUCAGAUAUUAAUGGAAUUCAUUACCAAGUUACCCAAAACUCCUAGUGGGUUCGACACUAUUUGGGUAAUAGUCGAUAGAUUGAAUAACUUUGCCCAUUUCAUACCAAUUAAAGAGAACGACAAGACGGAGAAGCUGACUAGAAUUUAUCUUAAGGAAAUUUUCAGAUUGCAUGAAGUUCCAAAUUCUAUUAUUUCUGACCAAGAUAAUAGAUUCAAUUCACAAUUUUGGCAAUCUCUACAAAAAUCCUUAUGAACACGUCUAGAUAUGAGUACAACUUACCAUUCAUAGACUAAUGGUCAGAGUGAGAGAAACAUUCAGACUUUAGAAGAUAUGCUCAGAGCCAAUGUAAUAUACUUUAGAAAUGAAUGGAUACACAUUUACCAUUGAUUGAGUUUCCCUAUAACAAUAGUCAUCACACCAGCAUCAAGGCUACACCGUUUGAGGCUCUUUAUGGAUGAAAAUGUUGUUCCCCAAUAUGUUGGGCAGAAGUUAGAUAUACGCAAAUCGCCAAAGAAUGUACAGGCGAUACCUUACAUACUAGACCAGAAAUAAUCCACAAGACAACUGAAAAGAUUAUGCAAACUAAGGAUCGAUUAAAGGCUACACGUAAUCGUCAAAAGAGAUAUGGUGACGUACGACAUAAUCCUUUAGAAUUCCAAGUUGGAGAUAAAGUAAUGAUCAAGUUCUCUCCUAAGAAAGGCGUAAUUCGAUUCGAGAAACGAGGCAAACUAAACCCAUGGUAUAUAGAACCUUUUGAAAUUCUAGCAAGAAUUAUUUUUGUGAUAUACGAACUCAAGUUGCCUCAAGAGCUAAGUAGUGUACACAAUGUUUUUCAUGUAUCAAAUCUCAAAAGAUGUCUAUCAGAUGACACUCUUAUUGUACCUCUCGACUAGAUGCAAGUCAAUACCAAACUCAACUUUGUUGAAGAACCUGUCGAGAUCAUGGAUCGAGAUGUCAAACGACUUAAGCAAAGUCGUAUUCCCAUAGUGAAAGUUCGAUGGAACUCUCUAUGAGGACUUGAAUUUAGUUGGGAACGUGGAGAUCAGAUGAAAGAAAAUAGCCCCAAUUAUUUGAUAAAACUCCAUCCACAAGAUAAAUUUCGGGAUGAAAUUGCUCUAAUGAGGGGAGAAUGUAACAAUAGUCAAAAUAGGUCAAUAACAAUCAGAUGUGAUUAUGCCAAUCAUGUAAUGUGAUUUUGUUAAAUUAGUAAUGUGAUAAACUUACUAUGUAGUUCAUGAUAAAUUCUAUUACAAAUACGAACUUUCAUACAUACUUUAUGAUACAACUCAAAGUAUACGUCCAUACGAUUCCAAAAAUAUAGAGAACAUCUAAAUCUUACUUCGCAUGAGGAUGUUAUGAUAAACCUUAACACUAUAAAUAUCUAUAAUAAGAGGAAUUUAAAAUAGACUUAGAAUUAAUUGUUGGAGUCUAAAAGAGAGUUGUAGUACUCGUAUAUACCUACGUGUAGACAUCAAGAACACCAGAAAUGAAGUUCGUAUGCAAAAGUUAAGACCUUCCGAAGAUACAAAUAUCAGAAAGCCUAAUUUGGCUGAGCUCACGACGUGAGCAUAUAUGUUCACGACGUGAGGAGUCAAAAAGCCAAAUUUCAGAGCUAGAAGACGCAUGGAAUGUCUACGAAGUGAUAAGUCAAAAGCUCACAACGUGAGCUAGUGUUGGGUCUACAUAUUGGUUUAUACUUUGCUUUUCUAUGAAAAUAUAUUUUUAUGCAGUUUUUGUGUAUUUGUGUACAGUCGUACUCCUGUGUACGGUUGUACACAUGUGUACAGCUGGUGAUCCUAUAUAUAGUCAGGAGUGUAGAGGAGUGUAAGGGUUGAAGAGAGAGAAAGGAAAGCAUAUUGUAGAGAGAGAAAGUAAGACAGAAGAAUUUAGUGUGUUAGUGUGUGUGAAUCUUUUAUUUGGAUCUACGUUCUAAUCAUCAAAUAAUACAAGAUUCAUCAUCUUCUUCUUCUCAUUCUCUUCUAUUUUGAUAUGACAUCAUCCAAUUGAUUGGGAUUCCACACCAACAAUUGGAUCUGAUUGAUACACAAGCAUAUUUAGGACUUACAAUUGGUAUCAAAGCUUGGAUUGUAUCAACCAAUUUGUCAGUUCUGGAUCUUAUUUGAUCUUAUUUUGAAAGGAUUUUUGCAUUUUUUAGAUAGAUCGGGGAAAAAUAAGGGGGGUUUCUUCUUUGCAUUUUUUAUAAAAACGAGUUUUUUAUUGAGUUUUGGAGCAAAAAGGGGUGAAAAACGUCGUUUUUUCGAGAAUCUGUUGAAGGUGAGCGGCUCUGUGUGUGCGACCGGCUCGGUGUGCAGCUAGGAGUGUGCGGUCCUCGGUGUGCGGCUAUCAACCUCGUCCUGGCAUCUCGUUCAGCAAGCUUCGCUGUAGUCUUCGCACUCAGCAACCUCGCAUCGUCAAAAUAAAAAAAGCGGGGGCAGAUUUUUGGAGGUGCCAGGUUUCGAACCUGGGUCUCAAGGUUGGGAAAUCAGCGACAUAACCAACUCAUCUGCCUUGCUAGAUGGAAUACUCCUUCCGAAAUUAAUUCAUAAAGAGUCCCUCUCGGUUCCAACUUUCGCAUUAUUGACAUUUUUAACCCCAAAAUCAAUAUCUUUUAUUUUUAUGCAACAUUUUCUUCCGAAAUUUUUAUUUUUUAAAUUUUAACUUUUAUUUUUGACUUUUGACUUAAAAAUUUGACUUUAACUUCUAAAAUUUGACCUUUGACUUUAAGUUUUGACUUUCUCGUUUGGAUUUAAAAUUUUCAAAUUUAGCUAUUCGGUUUAACUUUUCAAGUUUGACUUUCAAGUUUGAAUUUUUAAAUUUGACUUUUAGGGUUCACUUUUGAGUUUUUAGUCAAAGGGCAUAUUUUUUAAAAAUGAGAUCCUCAUCCAUUCUGGUAAUUGAGGUUUUAUUUACUCCAUCUUGUGAUGCCACAAUUAAAUUUCUCUGAGAUCAAAUCGAUUUAUUAAAAAGAGAAAAUGAGGACCUCAAAUACGAAGGCUAUACGCUUAGUGAAGGUGAGAAACCUCUGAAAGACUUUAGGAAAUUACAAGAAGAUUACAGCAACAAGUGUGAAAAUUAUGAUCACAUUAAGAAAAAAACUUGUUGUUGUAAGUGAAGAAAUUGACGCUUUGAAAAUUAAGUGUGGAAAAACAUAUGUUAGUUUCAAAAUUAUACUACGUUAAGUAAGAUAAUCAAAACAAGGGUCUAGGGUAUGAUAAUGUUCCUCCCCCUUUCAACCAUAUCUAUAUAUCCAUCCCUAUGACACAGGAAGAAAUUGAUAGGGAGACACAUCUUCAAUACGGGAAACCUACUGUGGUUGUGCCAGAAAAGGUUGAGGUAAAGGUUUCUAAUGAUUAUGUUACAUGUGCAGGUAAAGUAGCAGAAGAUGAGAACAAAGAGAAAACAAUUGAACAAUCCAACGACUCCUUGAACUCUGAAUCUGUUGCUUCGAACUCAGUUGCUUCUGAUCAACCUGUUGUUGAGAAAUACAGGCCACCAAAACAAGCAAAACUGACAGCUUGUUGCAAGUGUGCAUGUGGGAACAAGCAGAGACAAGGCAAAGACACACCACCAGGGGCCGGAAGAAACUGAUGGGUUUUGGUCAUAAGAACAUCCUAUGUGCUCAUACAAACCCUAAUGCUUGGAUCCAGGUUUCUCUAUUGUACAUGCAAUUUAUCCAAGACUAUAAACCCUAGAUCUAGCAUAUGAUAAUCAAUAUAACAUAUAAUUAGGUUUUAGAUCAUACCUUGAUUGUUAUGUAGCAAUAACAAUCUCAAACCCUCCUUGUAAUGAGUUUAGAAAGCUUAGAGUCACAAAUGUCACUCCUCUAAUGGUUCACAAAGACCAAUAGCAAGAGUAUGAAGAAGAGAGGAGAAGGAGGCUCUCAAAAACGUGUGGAAACCCUAGAUAAUAAGUUCACCACGUUUUUGGGGCAUAAGCGUUCUUUAAAUAGUGAGGCUAUUAGGAUUAUCUAACAAGGAAACCCUAAUUUGGAUGCUUAAGCCCUAAGCAACCCAUGGACUCCUUUCCUUAAAGGCCUUGGACGAUUUCUAACGGGUUUCCCCAUAGAAUUCGUCCAACCUUAUAAUAUAAGGCAAUCCAUAGCCCAAUUGCAAUUAUCUUAUAAUUACAAUUCCAGUCCCUUAAGUUUAAUUAAUCUCUUUUAGUCACAAACUUAAUUCUUAUUAAUUCUUGACUAAUAUUAAUUAAACAAUAUGAUUUCUCCUUUAAUAUAUUAUUCUCAUAAUAUAUUAAUAAAUCAUAUUUAAUCCUUUCUCUCCAUAAUUCAUCCUAUCAAGUUGCUUUGGUGAAGGCAACCCAAAAGGACCAUGCACCAUCGGGUCAAGUACAUACCAAAAUAGUUAUGGACUUAGACACUAAUCCAACAGUCUCCCACUUGGAUAAGUCUAAUAACUAUUAUGCGUAUGACUUCAGAUCCUGAUCUGCAAUCGUAGCUUUCCAAAGCCGCUGUCAACUCUGAUCCUAUCAGAUACGCGUGUCCUUUAGAUAAGGGAUCAUAUAUUCCUCCAUUCUAGAUAUCGUAUAAGAUAUGAUUUCUAAUCAUUCUCUCUGUACUAUUUCUCGACUUCCGAUUUAUGACGACUGACUAAUUGAACAAAUCAAAUUAGCCCUAGCCCGGCCGAGCAUUUACGUUUGUCAUCACUAAAUCAUCGAGGGGCCCAAAGAUAUCGCUUUUAUCCUACUUUGGAUAAAAGGAACAGAUAAACUUUGAUUUAAUGCUCGCUUGCACUCACUCACCGAAUCACAAUCAACAAUAUGUUCUAUGGCACCAAGUUCUUAGUGCGUUUACAUUUUAUCAAUGUGCAACCAAUUUGCAAGAUACAACUCACACAUCUUGGUUUCAAGAAUAUAAGAUAUUAUCGUCUCACCAAUCACUUGUGAUACAAUUCAUGGAGUGAUCCAAGUGAGCGUGGGUUUAAUCCAAUGCUCAAAUCAUAUUCAUAAGCACUCAUGAACGUUGCAGCAAACAUUUGCUUAUGUCUAAUGCUCUUUAGACAAUCCACACACCAAUUCACGACAGUCUUCAUUCAUAUCUACUUCCAACAUAUGAACGACUGUGGCCCGUUCGAAUAAUUCGAUUAUUCUUAAUAAAUUCAAUUAUUCUGGAAGUCAAAACAUGCAAAUGUGAAACACAAGAAUAAUACUAAUCCCAUAUGGCCUCAAACCUUUGAGUAUAAAUAAAACACCUUUUAUUUAUCACCAUAUCGAUUACUCAUUAUUUGUCGUUUCGGGUAAUCAACUUCUUACUUGAAUUACAACACUUGUCCCAUGCUCCUAGCAUGCACACAAUGUUUACCUAUGGUUCUUACUUUGUGAAAUAGAUCACAUUGAACACAUUUCCAAUCAUUCUCAUUUCACAACUCCAAAUCCUUUUUCCAUAAGUUAAAGAAUAUCAAAUUCUUGCUACUUAUAGAAUAUGCUAGAUUCUAACAUUCUAUGCAACUAUCCUUUCGUAAUGUCACUGCACCAAAGUCACAAAGACUAUUGCCAAUGAUAUUACAAAGUCCUCUAUCGGAGAUUGUUACAAGACAAUUCCUUAGAUGUGAUGUCUCUCACUCAAAGUACAUUCUUUUGAACAUCCUUUUGCAUAAAAGUUUCUAAUCUAGACAUAGAUUUUCAAUAUUCAAUUCCCAAUAUGGACAAGUUUCCAUAUUUUCCAUAUGACAAAUCAUUCUUAAUAGAAUCUUAUCUAUUCAUAAUAAUGUCGAUAUGGUCAAUUCAAUACUAUACUUCCAACUAGUCAGAAGUGACCAAUCCUCGGCGAACUUUGGAUUGUGCUUUGAUAGUUGUUUAAUUAUCUUAGUCAAAACCGAUUCUUGUCCUUUUUCCCUAUAAACGCGCUAGACAUUUGGAAAAUUUUAGAAUGGUCAAAUAUUAUAGCAUUUUCAAUUAAUCCUAUACCCGAAGCGUAUGAGACAUGAUGCAUAACGUCUUACAUAAAGAUUUGAUACUUUAUCAAUCUUCUGCCAUAAUAUUUUAUGUGUUAUGUUCUUAAAAUUCGAGCUAUGAAGAGGAAUGCCGUAAUCAUAAUCGAUAUUUGAGAACACACUAUGUAUCCUUGACUAAAUUUAUUAACAUUCCACAACCUAAGCCUUUAGAUUUGAAAUGAAGCAUAAUAUUCUCUCCCUUAAUUAUAGCAAAACAACUUUUCAACUAUUGCGACUUUGCAAAGUAUGACUCUUGUUUUCUAUAAUUAAUAUUGCUAACCUUGCAAUACUUUCCUUAAUAAUCAUACAAUCAUAACUUUUAUGCUCCCACUAUCUUGAUGAUUAUUAUAAAACAUAACACUUAUGCUCCCACUAGCUUCGACAUGUAUUCAUAAACAUCUUAACUUUCAGAAAAAAAAUGCUUAUUGAAUUUCUUAAGUUCAUGUUUCUAAUACUUAGUGCUUUGAUAAUCUUUUAUCAAGGUUUCUUGAACUUAUACACCUUUGCCUUCGAUAGUUCAUAUGUGUGUCUAAACAAUUAAGACUAAUUGCCAAACCUCACAAUUCAAAUUAUGGAAAGGGAUACCGUAACCAUAAUUGAAUUCGAGAAAUCAAUUUCACAAUCACUAUCUUCUUAAAAUCUUUCUUAGUGAAAGCAUUUCCUCACAGUCACUUUCAUGAAGGAGGGAAUCUUAUGAAACUUAGAUUUUAAUGGUGUAUGUGUUCCUAUCCAUGUGAAUUUGUCAAAACCAAAGUUUACGACAAAUGCAUACUCAUAUGGACCGAACUAUCUUAAUCUUAAUUUCUUGCCUUAUAGUAGCACAGCUGCCCACCAUGUCUUCCAAGUAUUUAAGUAGCUCACCUUUUCCUAUCAAUGUACUUUUCAUUGAUCAAGGUCCUUGCCUUUUAUGCAUUCAAAUGAGAACUCAUAGGGCUCACAUGCAUAAUUAACUCAAUUGGAACGACAUAGAAACAAUGUAGUGUCAACACAAUAGGUUGUAAACCUCAACUUGUGUGCUAGUGAUGAUCAAUAAGGUUUAUUUUGAUUUGUUCUUGAAACCUUUCAAGACCAUUUAGACUCCCACUGACUCCUUGACAUAUAAGAUUCUCUUGUCAAUAAACAUUUCUUGACAAAAAAAUAUUCAAGAGUUAGUGUAGUUUAAAACACUUCAUAAAUUUGGUCCUAGUUGGUCUUUGUCUUAUCCAAGACAUCACAACUUUCCACAUUUGAUGAAUGCUAUAAACCUUCUUAAUACUUUUCACUCAAUGUCACAAUCUUAACUCUAAGACUUGUUUUGGAACGAAGUAUGAUUGACUUCUUGAUUUAACCAUUUCUUCAAUUCUUGAUUCCUCUUCUUAGACAUACAAUUGUACUAAGACUCACUUAGAGGAUCAAUUGAGAUAUGGUUGUUAAUCAUUAAGAUCUAUCAUAAAGCAUAAAAGGUACUCUCCCUUCUUAGAAUGGAGAAACUUUUAUCUUUCUGCCUACAUUAUUCUUCUUAUUCGUUCGGCUAUUGAUUUAAACCUUUUCAAUCAAUUCAGAAUUACACUUAAUCUUAUAAGUAUAAUCAUAUUUACUAAACCUUUAGUAAAUCAUGACGAAUGUCUUUGUUACUCUUGUGGUGGACUUGAUCAACACACAACUUUGUGUACUCGAUCUCCUAGUCCUUCACUUGACACUUUGUCAAUGAAUUAGUCUAAUUUCCAAAUAUGAAAUUUCUCAUUCAUCGUGCAACCAAGUUGCAUGAUUCCAAGUUUCUGUCCAAUUGAAACUUGGGCGAUGAGAAACUCUCCCUAUUUGGUAAACUCUCGACUUUCCAUAAAUAACAUAAUAAGAACCAAAUCCAUUAUUGCUAAUAAUAGAAACAUUCAAACAUUAAUUUUUCAUAUACGCCAUUGCAAGGAUAAAUAAAUAAUAUAAAAUCAAAAUUUAUUUUAUUGCGGAAAAAUUUGUCCUUACAAUGCAAUUCAUUGAAAAACUAUGCUAAUACAUCUUUCUUAGCAAUCUAAUUCCAACUCUAAGUAGUAGCCCAAGAAUCUAAUCUUCAAGUAAUGCGAUCGAAAUCCAUUUCUUCAUGGUUAGAUUCUGCUCACUUCUUCCCUUAAGCUUCCUCUAUUUUCUUCGAUCCUACAAAACAUCAAUUGUAAUCUUAUCACAUUAUGUAUUAAGAAUCUAGAAUAGGAGCUUCAAAGAUUUAGUCAACGGAUUUUAACUAAAGCAGAGCCAUACGUUUUGAAUCUCCUUUCUCUUAGAUCUCUUAGGUAAAUAGGGCAGCUUCGUCUCCAAUGCCCCUUUUGGAACAGGACAUGGAACUACUUCAGACAUUGCCUUUCUCUUAUGAUCAAACUUUCCGAUCAUAGCAUAUCUUUCGUUGCCAUUGUCUAUAUCCAUAGAGGUCUUGAAGGCAGAUUCUCCAAUCAACUUUGCCUUUCUAUUGCGCCAAACCAUUGCUGAUUCAGCAGCAAUAAUCAUAUAGGUGAGAUCUAUAAGGGUCACGUCGCAGUUCAUCAUAUAGUACUCUCUUACGAACUCACUAUACGAGUUAGGAAGUGACUGAAGAACCCAAUCAACAGCCAUCUCCUCACAGGCAACGGAUCCCAACAUUCUUAACCUAUCAAUGUGUGACUUCAUCCCUAGGACGUGUGCACACACCGACUUUCCCUCUUCAUGUUUACUUGCCAACAGGGCUUGAGUAAACUUGAACUUUUCAAGCCUUCGAACUUGUGGGUUUGGGAGAAUAAUUGGAGGAGGUGGAGGAAUUGAAGCAUGAUUUCUUGUUCCUCGAUCGAAUCAUGGAAUAUCAUCUUCAUGUGGAAAGCUUAUUCCACGGGAUUUGGGAAGACCAUAGUUGUUGUACUUUGACAUCUACAGAAUGGGAGAAAACAAAGUCAAGUUAGUUGAUCGAAUGAGUCCUUAGUAAAUCACCCAAAUGAUAUACUAAGGCUAGGACCCAACACAAUACACUACAACCUAGAAAAGGGAUGUCGUAAUCUAGUUGCAAAAUAUUUGAAGGUAAGUGAAUGACGAUUCACUAAUUUCCACCACAAAAAACGAAAAAGAAAUUUAAGUUUUAAAUCUAUGAAAACUUCUAGAUCCUUUGAGAUUCAUUGAACAUUUCAAUGGCAUGUUUAAAUCUCGAUAUGCCCCUCUAGUUUGUGACUGGGAUGCCGAGGAUCACAAAGCGGGUGUGAAUAACCAUGCAAACUUACAUGGUGCCCUCACAUGUUACAGUCACCUAUUCGAUGUGCCGGUAAACCACACACGCUCCACCGAACUAUCACAAACUUUGAGUCACCCUUUGCUACCUUUGCUUAGAACCAUUUAAUGUGCCUGUACACCACAUACGCUCCACUAACGUCUUGUCACACCCCAAAACCAAGAACGACGGAAACCUUCCGGGGUGGAGGACGUCAUGUACAGUAUCACAACAGUGUAAAGUAGUAAAUAAGCAACAACAUCAUCCAUUGCAUUAUAAGUAAAGUUUUAAUACAUUUGUGUUCUUUCAUUGUAAUAAGACACAAACAAUAUACAAUCAAAAUAAAAGACGAGACUUGUCUGUGCUCCGUAUUCUCGAAACCUGGCCAUCGUACCUGUCUACUGGUGACCUGAGAAUACAAGUUAUUUUGAAAGAGAGUAUCACCUUGAAAGCUGGUGAAUUCAUAAGUAUUUAAGUGUCAUUGCCUUGCUUUGAAAAGAUGUUAUGAAUGUCAUGUAAAACCUUUAAGUAAGACAGUUGAUGUAAGUAUGAAAACCCUAAGAAAUCCCUUAUUUCCUACUAUUAUAAAAUGUAGUCUCCUACCAAGACCCGAAUGUUUUGUUAUGACAAUGUAGUCUUCCACCAAGACCCGAAUGUUUUGUUAUGACAAUGUACUCUUCUACCAAUACCCGAAUGUUUUGUUAUGACAAUGUAGUCUUCUACCAAGACCCGAAUGUUUUGUUAUGAUAAUGUAGUCUUCUACCAAGACCCGAAUGCUUUGUAAGUAAAAUGAUAGUUUUUCCUUCUUUUUGACUACUACAAACAGUAAUUAGUCUAACUCAUCGUUUAUGUGAAUAUAUCAAAAAAUAAAGUAAAUAGGAAAAAUAUAACCAUGUAAGUGUUAUCCCUGGAUACCAGGACUAACACGCCAUCGUAGUAAGCGAUAUGUAUAACCUAAUGAACAUCCGAAGAUUGUCCAAUUUUCCUCUGUAGCAGCAGCAGGGUGGAGGAAGGGUUAGUCCCGUAGCCAACUCCUAAUAUGAGUGGUAACCUUAUGAUUACCCGAAGAUUUUCAUCUCAUCCUCUGUUGCAACAGUAGGAUGGAGGAAUGGUUAGUUCCGAUAUCAAUCUAUCAAUUAUAAGUGAUAACCUUAGACAUCCGUAGAUGCUCAUCACCCAGUGGUGCUAACAGCUGGGUUCCGAAAUGGUUAGUCCCGUCUAGACAUCCCGUAGAAUCAGGGAUAGGCAGGAAAAUUUACACAGAAGGUACGAAUAAAUCUUCCUCAUAACUCUAGGUACAAGUAUCCAGGUAAGUGAAGACAGGAUAAUGUAUCUAUGUAACCAUACUCAUGUAUGAUAUUCAUGUAAGCAUAUUCAGAUAAAAGUAUCUAUGAAAACGUACUUAUGUAUCAUGUAAUCCUAGAUAAAUGUACUCAUGUAUCAUGUACUAACUGGUAUAGACUCAUGAAUGAACUGACUCUUGUGUAAUUCCUUGUAAUAGGAAUAUUGUUUUGUAUCUUCUAACUAUCCCUAUGAUAAUUAACUGAAAGGCAAUUGUUUGUUCAAGAAGGUAAACGUAAUGGUUUUGCAAGAUAUCUAAGAGUUUUGAAUAAUAAUUAAGAGUGACUUGAUGUCAUGUUAAUAAACAUUUCAAAACUAAUACUUUUGUUAUCAAGGUAUUUUAAGAUGGAAAACCAUUUCAUGCAUCACAUUUUGUAGUAUGUGAAAUCUGCUGGAUGAAAACACAGUUAUAACAUACAUAUGAGUGAUUUAAUAACAUGUUGUUUUCUACUUGUAUUUGAUGGGUUUUAUGCAUAAGAACAAUCCUAUGUGCUCAUACAAACCCUAAUGCUUGGAUCUAGGUUUCUCUAUUGUACAUGCUUUGAAUCCAAGACUAAUAACCUUAGAUCUAACAUAUUAUAAACUGAAUUAGGGUUUAUAGAAUUACCUUUAAUUGUUAUAUAGUAAUAACAAUUAAUUCCUUGCUUGGAUUGGCCUUAGAAAGCUUAGUGCCUCAAGUGUUGCACCUCUAAUGGAGUCACAAACACCAUAUACAACUUGGAUGAAGAGGAGAAGAAGAGAGGCUGCCCAAAAAANAUUUGACUGCUUAGGCCCUAAGCAGCCCAUGGACUCCUUAAACAUAUCCCUUGGACGAUUUCUAAUGGGCUUCCCAUAGAAUUCGUCCAACCUAUAUAUUAUUAGGUGAUCCAUAGCCCAAUUAUAAUUAUCUUAUAAUUACAACUUCAGUCCCCUAAGUUUAAUUAAUCUCUUUUAGCCACAAAAUUAAUUAACAAUUAAUUCUUGACUAAUAUUAAUUAAACAAUAUGAUUUCUCCUUUAAUAUAUUAUUCUCAUAAUAUAUUAAUAAAUCAUAUUUAAACCUUUCUCUCCUUAAAUCAUCCUACAUAUUGCUAUGGUGAAGGCAACCCAAAAGGACCAUGCUCAUAAUCGGGUCAAGUACAUACCAAAAUAGUUAUGGACUUAGACACUAAUCCAACAGUAUUCCCCCCAUUGAAGCAUUUAAAAACAUUUAAAAUAUUCAUUUAGGGGUAUGAACUCACCUGUAGAUGGUGGUUUGGAUGAACUGGACGGUGUAGGAUUGUUAGGUGUCAAGUGAGGACUUGUACACACACAACGAUCCUAAUGAACAUAUAAUCACACAUAUAUGCACUCAAUUAGUCUUAAAUUACUAAUUGAUAAUGUUAAAACAUCCUAGAACAUAAUAAACACUUUAUAUAAGUGUUAUAAGCCCUAAGGAUUUCAUCUAAGCUAUUGUGGGACAAGGAACUUGGGUUUAGGGUUCCAAAGGACCCUAUACUUGAGUUUACUCUCCAUAUAUUCUCACACAUGGAGUUUACGGUUGUAAACUCUUGAGUUUACGGCCAUAAACUCCCAAGCUUGGUGGUAUUUUGUGUUUUGAAGUUCUAAAUGACCCUUAGAAUUAUUCCAACUUGGUGGUUAAAUUCUUGGAAACGUUUAAGGCAUAGAAACACUCCUUUGAGGAGUUUACAGACCUAAGGCCAUUUCCUUUAGAUUUUGCAGCCGUAAACUCUUAAGGAAAGGUGUUUUUGAUGCUUUCAAGACUUUUGCAUAUGUGCUUGGUGGUAUUUUGUGUUUUGAAGUUCUAAAUGACCCUUAGAAUUAUUCCAACUUGGUGGUUAAAUUCUUGGAAACGUUUAAGGCAUAGAAACACUCCUUUGAGGAGUUUACAGACCUAAGGCCAUUUCCUUUAGAUUUUGCAGCCGUAAACUCUUAAGGAAAGGUGUUUUUGAUGCUUUCAAGACUUUUGCAUAUGUAGGAUAGGUUCUAGACUUUUACCUAAAGCAUAUGAAGGCAUUAGGCACACUUUGGUGCCCUUGUUUGAUGUUCACGGCCCAAGAACCUUAUUAGGGCCGUGAACUCACUUUGAUGGGUGAUUUUGAUGUGCUUUGGUCCUUCAUUUAAGUGGAAACAAUUCCUAGCAAAUGUCUAAGACUUUAGGUGCCUUAAAAGCACCCUUUUGUCCAUGAUUUUGGAGUUCACGGUCCACGAUCAUCUUGGGCCGUGAACACCUAAACUUGGGUGAUUAUUUGUUGUUUUCGUGUCCCAAAUACACUUCUAUACAAGUCCAACAUAAUACCAUAACACAAGGGAAGGUCUAUGUCACACCCCAAAACCAAGAACGGCGGAAACGUUCUGGGGCGGAGGACGUCAUGUAUAAUAUCAACAACAAUGUAAAGUAGUAAACAAGCAACAACAUCAUCCAUUGCAUUAAUAAUAUAAUUAUUAUACAAAUGUGUUCUGUCAAAUUUUGAUAAACACUAAAGCAUAAAUCAAAAUGAAAGAUAAGUCUUGAACAAGCUCCAUCUUCCUUUCUCCUUGCAUCGGUACCUGUCUAUGAUGACCUGAGGAUACAAGUAAUUUUGAAAGCGAGUACCAGCUUUGAAGCUGGUGAGAUCAUAAGUAUUUAGUGUCUUAAUUUGUAUGUAAGAAUUUGUAAGUAUAUGUAUUGUAAGUAUUUAAAGUGUAUAUGAACUGUAAGUGUUUGAAAAACCCUAGAAUCCCUAUGAUUCCUACUAGUAUAUGAAGGUGUCUUCUACCAAGACCUAACUGNUCUACCAAGACCUAACUGUUCUAAAUGUGUGUCUCUUGUAAGAUUAUGUAUGUUCCCAAGUAUAACUAUCAUUAUCCAAAAAUAUAGUUUCUACAUUACCGUGCGUCGUGUGAAUGUUCACGAAGUGAAUGUAAUGGGAAAAUGAAAUAGUACUACGGUGUAGUGCUAUAAGAACUACUGCCUUACUAACUACCUUAAAUCGGAUUUAUAUUAAGGCAUUAAGUGAUAAAUUGCACCAUACUAUUGACUAGUAACAACGACAUAAUGAAUGGUCGUAAUAACAGAAUGACGUUUGGCACCUGCAGACCUGCAGGUCUGGCUGUAGCUAGCAGCAAGGUGUAGGAUUGUCAAUCCAGUAUAGAUUUAUACGCAAACUCACGCUCUCCCUUCAAGAGACUCUGGGUACAAAUCGAAUCAUGACAUUUAAGUCAUGCUCCGAUUUAAAUCACAAUAAUUAACGUAUUCUUGUAUAUGUAAUGUAAUGAACUGUUCUAGCUGUAAUGUACAUGCUCUCUAUCUAGCAAGUACAGUAAUGUAAUCAUCCUAGUAUAGUUGUAUAUGUAAUGUACUGUAAUGUUCUAGAAAGUAUUGACUCAUGAAUGAACUGACUCAUUGUAUGAUAUAGCGUUCUAGUAAUUGUUCUAGUAUCUUCCUAAACUACCCAUAUGGUAGUUUACUAGUAAUCUAACUGGUACGUAUGGACAUGGAUGUAUACCCUUGCUACCCAAGGGCAUGGGAUGAACUGGAAGGACCUUUUAUGACUAUAUAUGUACACAUGAUAUAUAACUAAUAUUUAAACGACCUUCGGACGAGUACCCGAUAUCCCACCAGACCACAUCUCAAGCGCGAAAAGGAAAUAGGGUGGAUAGCCUUCCUAAGUCUUUUAAACAUUUCUUAUAUAACUAUACAUAUAGAGGCAUGCAAUUUAUAAUAUAAAAGCAUAAAUAAGUUUUGUAAGACAUUUGAAACAUAAUUAUUAUUUUAAGAAAAGAUCGACUUGAUGUCAAUCUAUAAAACAAUUUGAAGGCAUGGGUUUGAUAAAACAUUUAAGUAUAAAGAAACAUUUGUUUGAAACACAAUUGUAAAUAAGUUUGAAAUGUAAUAUACAGAGUAAAAUGUACAGUGUAAUAAGGAGUUUAAAACAUAUAAAAUGUUUAUAAAAAUCAUUUGAAGGAAACUGUUUGGUAAAACGGCUAAUGAGUAGCCAAAUCAUUUGAAUGUUGUAUAUUAAUCACAUGUGAUUGAUAUAAUAACUAGCAUAAUUCUACUUAUUAAUCACAUGUGAUUGAUAUAAUAACUAGCAUGAUUCUACUUGUAUCCCCCCCAUAAAACAUUUAAAAAUAGUUUAAAACAUUAAUUAAGGGGUAUGAACUCACCUGCAGUAAGUGACUGGAAUUGAACGGACUGUUAUCGUAAGGAAGGAUCGGACAAGUGCUUGGUGUCAAGUGAAGACUUUAGACACACACAAUGAUCCUAAUUACAUAUGAAGACAUAUGUAUAUAAAUAAUUAGUGAUUAAAACACUAAUUAUACAAGUAUAAACAUUUAAACGCGAGGAAAACACUUUUGGUCAAGUGCUAGGAGGCUAAUGGGUUGCAACAAAGGAGUGCAAUGCCCCUAAUGGGAGUUUAACGUCUAAUGACCAUAUUCUUUGGAGUUUACGGCCCAGGGGAGUAAACUCAUGGCCGUAAACUCUCAACAAAGGCUCUAAAUGGUGCUUAGAAUUAUUACAACUCUAGUGGUGAAUUGUUUCGAGGCUAUAACAAGUGUUUGGGUACCAUAUUAACUCCUUUGGGGAGUUUACGGCCCAUAGACCAUAUUCCCUUGGAGUUUACGGCCGUAAACUCCCUUGGGAGGGUUCUUAUGGUGUUUUCAAGUCUCUAACAUUUCUAGGUAAUGAUCUAUGUUGGGUUCUAGGCAUAAGGAAGGAGUUAGGGUGUCAUUUGACCCCUUUAUAUGUGUUUACGGCCCAAGAGUUUAUCUUGGCAGUAAACUCCUUUUUCCUUGUGAUUCCUUAUGUUUUCUUGGCUUUAAACACUUUAGGGUACUUGUCCUAAUUGAAGUCUAAACUUUAGGAGGUGUUUCAAAGCAUUUUGGCAUGUUCAAGGGAGUUUACGGCCUAAGAUAUUCUUGGGCCGUGAANAGUGUUAGAAUGCUCAAAACCCAUCAAUUAUAGGUUGAUUUAAUGUCCCUAAUACAAGUAGAAUACUUUCUAGGCAUUUGAUUAAGGCUAUGGAGGACCCUAGGCACACUUUGGUGCCCUUAUUUGGUGUUUACGGCCUAAGAGCAUUCUCUUGGCCGUAAACUCCCUUUUAAGGGUGUCUUUGAGUGUUUCCUAGUCUCAAAUGAUCAUACAUAAUAUCCUAAGAUAGUUACCUAACAAGGAAAUGGGACUAGAUGGCCUUNNNNNNNNNNNNNNNNNNNNNNNNNNNNNNNNNNNNNNNNNNNNNNNNNNNNNNNNNNNNNNNNNNNNNNNNNNNNNNNNNNNNNNNNNNNNNNNNNNNNNNNNNNNNNNNNNNNNNNNNNNNNNNNNNNNNNNNNNNNNNNNNNNNNNNNNNNNNNNNNNNNNNNNNNNNNNNNNNNNNNNNNNNNNNNNNNNNNNNNNNNNNNNNNNNNNNNNNNNNNNNNNNNNNNNNNNNNNNNNNNNNNNNNNNNNNNNNNNNNNNNNNNNNNNNNNNNNNNNNNNNNNNNNNNNNNNNNNNNNNNNNNNNNNNNNNNNNNNNNNNNNNNNNNNNNNNNNNNNNNNNNNNNNNNNNNNNNNNNNNNNNNNNNNNNNNNNNNNNNNNNNNNNNNNNNNNNNNNNNNNNNNNNNNNNNNNNNNNNNNNNNNNNNNNNNNNNNNNNNNNNNNNNNNNNNNNNNNNNNNNNNNNNNNNNNNNNNNNNNNNNNNNNNNNNNNNNNNNNNNNNNNNNNNNNNNNNNNNNNNNNNNNNNNNNNNNNNNNNNNNNNNNNNNNNNNNNNNNNNNNNNNNNNNNNNNNNNNNNNNNNNNNNNNNNNNNNNNNNNNNNNNNNNNNNNNNNNNNNNNNNNNNNNNNNNNNNNNNNNNNNNNNNNNNNNNNNNNNNNNNNNNNNNNNNNNNNNNNNNNNNNNNNNNNNNNNNNNNNNNNNNNNNNNNNNNNNNNNNNNNNNNNNNNNNNNNNNNNNNNNNNNNNNNNNNNNNNNNNNNNNNNNNNNNNNNNNNNNNNNNNNNNNNNNNNNNNNNNNNNNNNNNNNNNNNNNNNNNNNNNNNNNNNNNNNNNNNNNNNNNNNNNNNNNNNNNNNNNNNNNNNNNNNNNNNNNNNNNNNNNNNNNNNNNNNNNNNNNNNNNNNNNNNNNNNNNNNNNNNNNNNNNNNNNNNNNNNNNNNNNNNNNNNNNNNNNNNNNNNNNNNNNNNNNNNNNNNNNNNNNNNNNNNNNNNNNNNNNNNNUCAUCAAUUCUCGAAAUGCACAGACAUGGGACAUUCUGGACCUCCGAAAUGUCUCAAUACAGGGUUACACUCGUUUAGGGGACUAGGGUAACAUUCAAUCUAAUCACAAAAGGGUUCCAUAAACCCUAAAUCCAUAAAUACAUCAAUAUAGCAGAGUAUACUCGAAUUCUUACCUGGAUGAUGUAUUCUCUGUGUCCCCAAUCCUCAGAAUGUGACUCCUUUGCUGUUCCUUUAGCCAAGUCCUUCUCUUCCUUGCACAACAACUCUUCUAUAAUCAACAAUGGCCUAUAAUCCUUGCUCCAGAUGCACACACUCGAUUUAGGGUUCUUCUCAGAAGGCUAAACUGAACAAUGACGGCCAAUAAGUGCCUCUUAUACGUCCCAAACCUGAACGGUUAGGGUUUUCGCUAAACAGCGCAGACUCGCCGAGUCCAGUCGCGAACCCGCGACCCGGUCUGCGAUCCUACUCGGCGAGUCUAGGCUCCAACUCGCCGAGUCCCCUCUUAAAACACCCCAAAAUCAUAAUUAUAUCAAUAUUUGGAAUCUCGGGCUGUUACAAAAGAGUUUUGAACAAUAAAUAAAUAAUGACUUGAUGUCAGUUUAUAAAACGAUUUAAAAGUAGAUUGUUUUGAAACACAAUUUGAAGUAUAAGAAAUCCUUGUUUGAAACACAGUUAUAAAUCACAUGUGAUUGAUCUUAUAGCUAGCAUGAUUUUUGCUUGUAUUCCCCCUAUAAACGCAUUUAAAAUCAUUUAAAAGAUAAGUUUAAGGGGUAUGAAGUCACCUUAAGUGAGUGAUGCGAUAGUAGGAUUGAUAACGGAUACUAAGUGUCAAGUGAGGACUUGAACACACACAAUGAUCCUAGUGAACAUAUAAAGAAACAUAUAUGUAUCUAAUUAGUCAUUUAUCAACUAAUUAACCAAGUUAAAACAACCUAGGACAUGGAAACACUUUGAUUUAAGUGCUAUUGAUACCAAAGGGUUGCAUCUAUGGGUUGUAUGGCAUGACAUUGGAGUUUAUGGCCUAAGAACCACUCCUUAUGGAGUUUACGGCCCAUGGUCAUUUCCCCAUGAGUUUAUGGCCGUAAACUCAUGGUACUAAGUACCAUUUGGUGUUUUGAGGUCUUAUAAGUCAAGAUUGGGCAUCCAAUGAUCAAGUCCAAGCCUUAGAAAAGCAUUAGAGGCACAAUAUCACUACUUUGUAGAGUUUACAGCCUAAGGACCCUAUCCUUAUGUGUUUACGUCCGUAAAAUCUUAUGGGGAUAUGUUUUGAUUGUUGCUUAAGGUCUUAAACACUUCUAGCAAGGAUCAAGACUAGUAUCCUAGGCUUAGGAAGGGACUAGGAUCCAUUUAACCCCAUUUAGAAGGGUUUACGGCCCAAGAACAUCCCUUGGCUGAAAACUUCUUUGAUCUUAUGUUUCUUGGUGAUUUUCAAGUGUAAACAAGUUCAUAUUAAGCAUACAAGAAGAUAGGGCAAGUAUACUUACAAGAUAGAAGAUUAAUUUGGUGUUUAAGAUCCAUGAACACUAGUGUGUGUUCUUGGUGUUCUUGGUGUUUUGAAGAACACUUGAAGAUCUAAGUGAAAAUCAAGAAUAGAUGGAUGAAAUGAUGUAUAAACACUAGAUGUUAGGUUCUAACAACAAUUCAAGUCGAGAAACACUUACGUUUUCGGAAGAUCGGGUGAAGAACGGGAUGCUACUUGAGAGAGAUUGGGGAGUGUUCUUGAGGGUGGAAGUGAGAAAUGAGGGAAUUGGGGAGUAAACUCAUGCCUAAGGCAUGAGUUCACGGCCAUGAUAGAGUUCACGGCCCAAAAUCCCUUUGUUUGGCCAUGAACAUCUAACUAAGGUGUUGGUUGUUCCAUUAUUAUCCCGAUAUUCUAGAAAUCACUUCCUUUUAUCCGUUCGAUCCAUGAAUAAAUAAUAAAAAUACUCUAACGGACUUUUAAACUGGCUAAAAUUUAGCAACAAAGUAUUUAACUUUUAAUUGAAGUUCUUGACUUUAGAGUUUGUACGAAUGAAAAUUCUGGGUUGUCACAAAUUGGGCACGUGACUACACUUCAGCACAUCCUAUCAUCCACAAGCAGAAAUUCAGAGUGAAAGGACCAUACAGACUCUUAAGGAUAUGCUGAGAGUCUGCGUUAUUGAAUUCAGUGGGAGCUGGGACUCCUACCUACCACUUGCAGAGUUCUCCUACAACAACAGCUUUCAUUCUAGUAGUGUUGCUCCACCAUAUGAGUUGUUUUAUGGAUGGAGAUGUCGCACUCGAGUCUAGUGGGGUGAGAUCGGUCAUAGGGUGAUGAGAAGGACGAAGGUAGUGUUGGGUUUUGAGCAUUCUAACACUCCUAAGUGUACAUACAACCCUAAAUACCUUGGAUCUAUGUUUUCACUAUUAUACAUGCAAGUAUGAACAUCCAAGGUAUUAUCCUAAUCUAGCAUACAAAACAAUGAAUAUAACAAGAUAGAAUACAUACCUCUUUGGUGUAGAAUGUUCUCAAGAAGCUUGAGUGCCUAGUGCCCCAAGUGUGACACCUCAAAUGGCUCACACAACACCAAUUGCUUUUGGAAUAACCUUGAGAGAAAUGUAGAACACUUGAAAUCGGCUAGCCCUUCUCUAUUUACCAUAGUUGCCGAUUUUUCCAAGAGUAUGAUCUUUAUAUAGUGUUACAAUUAGGGUAAACCCUAACUGUCAUGACUUUCCAUUUCCUUGGAUCCAUGGGUUCAAAUACACCAUGGAGCAUCCUAUGGGUUUUAUCCCAACUUGAUAAUCCAUGGAGCAUUAGCCCAUUUAUUUACACAAGUAUACAAGUAUGGAUGAUUUACACAAUCAAUCCAUAUAUUUAAGUAGUCUUCUUUUGAUCACUUAAUUAAUUCUUGAUCAAUACUAAUUAAAUAAUCUUAUUAAUAUAUUAGAACUUAUAAUAUAUUAACAAACCUUAAGUGUUAUUUCUCUCAUUAUAGUCUAUCCAAAUGCAUGAUGCCAUGCAACCCAAAUGGACCAUGCCGGGUCGGGUCAAGUCUUACCAAUUAUAGUUAUGGACUUAGACAUUAAUCCAACAGUCUCCCACUUGGAUAAGUCUAAAACUAUUAUUGCGUAUGACUUCAGGAACCAACUGGCAAUCGUAGCUCUCAAAAGCUUCUGUCGAACUCUGACCUUGUCGAUGAACUCUGACCUUUGUCAAUGACUUGUCCAUUAGAUAAGGGAUCAUAUAUUCCUCCAUUCUAGAUAUCAUAUGGACUGAGACAUGGAUUAUAAUCAUUCUCUCUGUCCAUUUGUUGUUUCCCGAUUUCCGAUUUAUGACGACUGACUAAUUGAACAAAUCAAAUCAGUCCUGGCCCGGCCGAGCACUUCCAUUUGUCAUCAUCAAAUCAUCGAGGGGCCCACAGAUAUCGCUUUUAUCCCGAAGGUAAAAGGAAUGGAUAAACUUCGACUCAUAUGGCUUGUUCUACUACUUGUUGAAUCAUACACAAAGGCACGUUUUAUAGCACCGAGUUACCAAAUGCGNUUGAAGAAUAUAAGAUAUUAUCGUCUCAUGAUCACUCGUGAUAAAAUCCAUGAAGUGAUUCAAAUGAGCGCGGGUUGAAUCCAAUACUCAGAACUUAUGAGCACUCAUGAGCGUUGUAGCACAACUUUGUCCACCAACUUGGACCUCUACAAGCCAACCCAUGACAGUCUUGAUUCAUAUCUACUUCCAACAUAUGACCGACUGUGGAUGGUUUAAAUAACUUAGUCAUUCCGGAAGAAUAACCUAGUUAUUAUGGAAGUCAAAACAUGCAAAGUGAAACACAAGAAUAAAUGAAUCAAAUAUGGUAUCAAACCCUAUGAAUAUAAAUAGACCACUUCUAUUUAUCACCAUACUGAUUACUCAUUAUUCAUUGUUUCAGUUUUAUCAACUUUAUACUUGAAUUAAAACACUAGGUAUCCCAUGCUCCAAGCAUGUACACUAUGUUUUUCUAAACAAUAGCUUUGACAUACACCAAGUAUGCACUCUAUGUUUAUCUAUGAUCCUUACUUUGUGAAAUAAACCAAUUGACCAAACUUUCAAUGAUUCUAAUUUCACACUCCCAAAUUGAAAUCUUGUUAGGCUUUAAACUUAAAUGCACUACCCUCUUGCAAUGAAUGUGUACAAAGUCAUAAAGACUUGUCAACAACCAUUACAGGGUAUUCCAAUGAAGACCUACUCCAUUGUCACAAAGCCUUAUGUCCAAAGUAUGCAUUUCUUUGAACAUGCUUCUUGCACUAAGUUCUUUAUGAUCUUACACAGAUUGCUUCCAUCUAUAGAGACAACUCCAUUUCCCAUUUUGACUACUACUUCUAAACAAGAGUUGCCUCCUUUCAAACUAUGUCAAUAUGGUCCUUUCAAAAUUCACACUAUACUUCCAACUGUCCUUGAGCAACCAAUCUUUGGUAAACCAUAGAUUGUCCUCAACAAUUGCUUAAUCACUUUGGUCAUAUCCAAUUCUAGACAUUUUCCUCCUUAAUGCCCCAAGACAUUUGGAAAAUUCAUAAAGAAUAAAUAUUAUAGAACAUGUAAUCGAUCUUGUACCCAAAGUAAAUGGGACACGAUUCAUGAUGUUUCACCUAAAGACAUGGUUCUAGACCAUUCUUUUGCCAUAAUAAUUUUUGUUUUCCAUAUUCUCAAAAUUUUACUAGGAAAGGGAUGACGUAAUCAUAAUCGAAUUUUGAGAACGCAAUAUAUAGAAUUUUCUUAAGUUGAACCAAUCCAACAUGAAAUUCAUAUAUAUAUAUAUAUNNNNNNNNNNNNNNNNNNNNNNNNNNNNNNNNNNNNNNNNNNNNNNNNNNNNNNNNNNNNNNNNNNNNNNNNNNNNNNNNNNNNNNNNNNNNNNNNNNNNNNNNNNNNNNNNNNNNNNNNNNNNNNNNNNNNNNNNNNNNNNNNNNNNNNNNNNNNNNNNNNNNNNNNNNNNNNNNNNNNNNNNNNNNNNNNNNNNNNNNNNNNNNNNNNNNNNNNNNNNNNNNNNNNNNNNNNNNNNNNNNNNNNNNNNNNNNNNNNNNNNNNNNNNNNNNNNNNNNNNNNNNNNNNNNNNNNNNNNNNNNNNNNNNNNNNNNNNNNNNNNNNNNNNNNNNNNNNNNNNNNNNNNNNNNNNNNNNNNNNNNNNNNNNNNNNNNNNNNNNNNNNNNNNNNNNNNNNNNNNNNNNNNNNNNNNNNNNNNNNNNNNNAAUGUUGUAAUGAUAGUCUCAAAUGGUUAGACCUUUUCUAUUUCUCAUAAGUCCAUGUUAGUGUGCCGACUAACAACUUUGAGAAUGCAAAGAUUACUAUCUAUUUACAAAUCUACUUAGUGGAAGUGUUUCCUCACCAUCAUUUUCAUGAAUAGGAGAGAAACCUUAUGACACUUAGAUUUUUAUGGUGUAUGAGUUCCUGCCCAUAUGAAUUUUUCAAAACCAUAAUCACAAGACAAGGUUAGUGACAAAUCUAAAUUCAUAUGGAAUGAACUUAUGCAAAUUUUACUUCUUGCCACCUGGCAGUAAAGGGCCUGCCAUUGCUUCCAAGUUGUUAUAAAACCAAUUGAGAACUCUAAGAACUCAUAUGCAAAGCCAACUUUCACUGGAAUGGGCACAGAAAUGUCAACACAAUAGGUUAUACACCUCAAGUCGUGUGCUAGUGAAGAACCUCAGGUUUUAUUCUUGAUUAGUUCUUGAGACUUUCAAGACCUUUAAGACUCCCACUGUCCUCUUGACAUAUAAGACUCUCUUGUCACAUAUUCAAGAGAUAGUGCAGAUUCUUUAUAAAUACAAACGCUUCACACAAUUGGCCUAAGUUGGUUUUUGUUUUAUCGAAAACAUCACAACUUGCCAAUUUCAAAUGUAGAAGAGUAGGACACUUUUACUCUUACAUUUGACAAGUGUUCUAAACCGUUCUUUUGGAUAUGUCACUCAACUUACAGUCUUGGAGUAUGACUCUAAGACUUGUUUUGGAAUAGAGUAUGGCUCAUCUUCUUGAUUUGAUCACUUCAACAAUUCAUAGCUCCUCUUCUUAGCUAUCAUAAUGCACUUAAAGGAUGAAUUGUGAUAAGGUCUCUUAAUCAAUAAGAUGAUCAUAUAAUAUGAUACUAAAGUACUCUACCAUCUUUUCAGAUUUGAGAAACUUUUAUCCUUCUGCCUAAUUUGAUUCUUCUCGUUCGUUCUGCCAUACAUUGAAAAUUUUCCAAUGUAUCAGAAUUAUACAUAAGCUUGUAAGUAUAACCAUAUUUACUAAACCUUACUAAAUCAUGACGAAUAGUCUUAUGCAUCUUUUGUGGUGGACUUUGACAAGUGCACAUGAAAGUGUACUCGAUCCUUUAGUCCUUUACUUGAGUCACACAUCCAUGUGAACAAGUAAUUAGUCUUAAUUUUCCAAUGUUUGAAAGUUCUCAUUCAUCAUAAUAUACAACUUGCAUGAUUCCAAGUUUCGGUCCAAUUGAAACUUGGAUGAUGAGAAAUUUUUCUUUAUUUGGUAAAUUUAGACACUAUCACAAAUGAAAGAAUCAAAACCAUUUUUUUCUUUUCUUUUUUUCAAUAUUCCUAUUAAUGGAAUCUUAUAAGCAACAACUUUUCACAAAUGCCAUUGUAAGGAUAUUUUAAAAUAAAUAAAAUCAGAAAUUUUCCUUUUAUUUUAAAAACUUUGCGGAAGAACUUAUCCUUACAAUCCAUAUGAAAACUAGUUGUUAUCUAUUCCUAAGCAAUAUCUCAUAACUCCUAAGAAGUAGCUCAAGAAUCCAAUCUUCAAACUAUGCGAUAGAAAUCCAUCUACGCGAUCAGAUUCAGCAUAUUCUUUCUUUAAGUUUCUUUAUUUUUCUUUGAUUCUUAAAACACCAAGAUGUGACCCAGUCAAAUCAUGUAAUAAGAAUCUCCAAAUAGGAACUUAAUAGAGUUAGACAAUGGACUUUACCUGAAAUAAAGUCAAACUCAUUGACUUUACCAUCCUUAGAUAAGUUUGACAGCUUCGUAACCAAAGCCCCUUCCUUUGGCAAUUUUAACAAAUGGACCCUUUGUUAAUUGUACAUAGGACAAUCACAGACUUAGCUUUUCUCUUUACCAUUUGGUCAACCGAGUUGACUAUGGCAGAUCCCUUUUCAUUGGGAAGAUAAUGCUCUUUCUGGAUUUUCGGUGUCAUCAUUGUCAAUGUCCAUAAAGUUUUAGGAAGUUGAUCUUAGCAAAUAGAUAAGAUCAUUAAGGGUCUUGUCACAGUCUGUUUCAUAAGUGAUUAAACCACCAACUUUCUCAAGACUUUGACACCCAACUCUCCCGGCUUGUCAAUAUGUGACUACAUCUCCAAGAUGUGAUCACACCUAGACCUUGCCUUGCCAAUAGGGCUUGAGUGACCUU
This 79359-nucleotide long non-coding RNA is filed under the name Lactuca sativa (garden lettuce). RNAcentral's name for it is "long non-coding RNA (LSAT_LNC001221)". The record is from RNAcentral. Lineage: Eukaryota; Viridiplantae; Streptophyta; Magnoliopsida; Asterales; Asteraceae.